RNAcentral lists this long non-coding RNA (51312 nucleotides) under Coffea arabica (coffee). RNAcentral's name for it is "long non-coding RNA (CARA_LNC007616)". The stretch from base 11824 to 11895 matches the Rfam family "tRNA". Lineage: Eukaryota; Viridiplantae; Streptophyta; Magnoliopsida; Gentianales; Rubiaceae. The record is from RNAcentral.
CACAUCAUCCAGAAACAACAGUCUCCUGGAACAUGUAUUGAUACAGCAGUAGCAGUUGAAUUGUCUGUGAUCCGAGACUCCAGUAGUGCUCUCUCUCUUCUGUCAACUCAAUCACAGAAUACAUCUAGUGGUGCAGCAGGCAUUUCUAUGGCUCUACCUCCAGUAAAUGGAGUAAGACACCAUGCUUACGAGUCAACAAAGCAAAAUUCUGCGAAGAAUCUAGGAAUUAAUACUGCAAAAGGCUCUGCAAGUAGUGGCUAUUCAUGUGGGACGAUCGAUGAGGAAGGAAUGGUAAGGGUUCGUGAUGGCAGCAUGCCUGUUUCCUUCAGAGUCCAGAGAGAAGGAACUUUUCAAGUAUCAGAUUAUAGGCAUGCCAACUGUAGUCCUUCUCUUGAAGUUGGGACUCUUGAUCUGCUACAAUUGUCUACACAUUUGAAAAGAGUGGAGCAGCAGAGGAAUUUUUUGCAAGUGGAGGAGGAAAACGAGACUUUCUGCUGCUCUUCUAAUUUGUAAAGGGUAUUGCUUACUCAAGCUGUGAAUAUGUAUGUGUAGUGGAUGAUCUGCAUGUGUGUGUCUCUGCAUUUGGUUGUAAAGAAGAGAAGGUGAUGACCUGAAUAUUGAACUUCUACCAGUUUCCUAGUUGCUAAAAGAAAUGAUUAAAAUGUGAUAGGGGAUAUCAAGAUAGGGGAAAAGGAGCAAAGGGGCAAGUUCAGCUCAAAUUUUCAUGGCCUUCAAAAACCAUUGAACUGUCUCAAAAUUUCUGUGCAUUUAAGUAUGUUCAGCUUAGUUCAUAGGAUGUGCGAUUUUAGGAUUAGUUCAUAGUAGUUCUUGAAUAUGUUGUCAUCAUUGCAAAUUUGUUGUUAAUGGUAAUGUAUAAUAAUGUCUUUGCUGCCAAGAGGGCAAGUUUUUUGUUUUUUGUUUUUUUUUAAAUUAUAGUAUAAGUGGAAUGAAUUCGAAAUCUUUCAUUUAUACUCUCUCCCUGACCACGCAACCUGUCCUUCCCCCUCCGGAAAUUUUCUCCCAUAUUGCAACGCGAAUUAGAACCAACUACGAUCGCCAACUGCACAUCCAUCCAUUUUUUUCAUCAGAGAAAUAACCCUUUCCUCCGGCAGCCCCACCACCCAACUCCACCGAUCUCUUUCUCUCACACGCCUUACAUGGCUGCAGAAGAUUACUGAUAGGAUUCAUAGUGGAGGAAAAUUGGUUGGGACUUGGGGAGGAGAGGAGGAGAGAGAAAACCACUGGGCCAAUGGCUCAGUGGCUACUAGAGAGGGGCUUAAGUCCCUCCUUGGACUGUAGGUGAGGGUUCAAACCUUACCUGUAGCGAAAAAAAUUUAAGGAUUGUGCCAGAGCACUCCCUUGGUCUAGUUGGGUCUGUAUACCUACUAGCCCCUUACCACAGCCUCCUUAGGCUCCCCCUCUCCCCUAAAUUAGGAUAGAACAGGUUAUAUAAAUGUAUCGUUGCUGAUAAAAAAAAAAAAAAAAAGAGAGAGGAGGAGAGAGAAAAUGAUGUUCCAUCAAUUAGAUACCUACAAUUUUGAGCAGACCAGACAAUAAUCUACAUCGCGAUGAAUAGAGGAAUGCAGACCAGACAAUAAUCUACAUGGUGAUGAACAGAGGAAUUGCUAAUUUUUGCUUCACUGGUUUGAAUCCUCGUAAUUGCUCAAAUCUUUGAAUCAACUUUGGCAGCAUAUUCUUGCAAGGAAAAUUGCUUUUCAGUUCAUUGGUUGUUUUGGAAAAGCAUGAUUUUUAAGGUACUUUUAAAGGUUAAACAAACAUCAUCAAAAAAUCAUGAACAACAACAAAAUAUUUGAAAUGGAAAAUUGCAUUCGCAGAAAAACAUUUUACUUUGAAACAAACAGUCCCUAAGUCGUUGCAAAAUAUUACUCAUUUGAUCUUUCUUUAAUUUCUUUUUAAAUGCUUUUUUCAUGUAAUUUUUGAGUAAGGAAUUCUGUCAUAAUUUACAAAUGUACUUGUACAAUAUACGGUCUAUUCAAUUGCCAUAAUAAAUUACUUGCAUCACCAUAUAUCGUACACUUCUAGUUUUAUUAUAUCACCAUACAUCAUAAUUAUAGGUGGCAAAUAAACCCAUUUAACUAAAUUUACCCAUACCCGCCCAUAAAUAGAUGGAUAUGAAUAUCUUAAUUUUUGCAUAUGGGUAUAAAUAGAUUACCCAAUAAUAGAUAGUAUUAGGUAACUCAUCAAACAUAAUUAACCCAUUUAGAAUUGUCAUCCUCCAACCCUCCUCUCUUCCCCACCCAUUUUUUUCUUCAAAUUAUUCAUUUUGUCAUAAUGUUAACUACUUUUAUUUCAUUAUUAUUAUUAUUUGUUUGUUUUAUAUUUUCUCUUAGUUUGUUAACUUGUUCAUUUUUCAGCAUUACCAAUUUAUGACAAGUUUUAGGCUCUUUCCCUACCUUUCCAAAAUGAAAUUUUAAAUUUACACAUGAAAAAAAUGCUAGGGGUUCAAAAUUUUUGAAUUAAGUUUUUAUGUUAACUUUUAUAGUACUUAGUUCAAAUUUUUAUAUUCUUAUUGUUCAAUUAUUAAAUAGUAUGUAAUUUUGCAACAUAGAGUACGGAUGGAAAAAAAUUGAUAAUUAGGCUAAUUGAGCAUUAUAAGUAAAUAUUUAAAACUAAUAAUGGAUGCAAAGGGUGGUAUAUAUUGAUAACUUAGUUUGCAAAAAUGAAUUUAAAUGAGUUUACAAAAAGUUAAAAUAAAUGGGUUAUAAAUGGAUAAUUGGAUUACCCAAUUCAUUUUUUGAUUUAUCCAUUUAUACUCAUCUAAUUAAAUGAGUAUAAAUGAAUUGACUUACUUAUACCCAUUACCUAUUUUAACCAAUCAAAACCCGGUCAAGUCACUCAUUUUGACACAUCUACUCAUAAUAUUGAUCGAUGACUCUGUAGUUCUUGAAUAAACUACGAGCUUUUAUAUAAUAUUUUAUUUCAUUGAAUUUUCUUAGUCAUAUAAGAGGAAUUCAUCAUCAAUAGCCUUAAAAGUUACCGGAAAUACUAUAAUGAAAUUAUGAUUUAAACCUGUAAGAUUCUAAACUUGCCAAAUAACGCCCAAGAAAAAGGAUCAUCCAAUGGGAAUAAAGGACGCAGGAAAGAUGUAAUCCACACACGAGAAAACUUGGAUUACUUGAUAAGUCUCUCGAACCCUAUUUUGGCAUAUAACAGAUAUACUUUGUUCACUUCUUCUUUUUGAAAAUCAUAAAUUCAAACUGAGAGAUAAUUCAAGGAAGAGCAGUGGAUACCAAAUAGGUGGCUUAAAUUACAUGCAACAGUACUUGUUCCACAGCACCAAAAAUUUGAAAUAAUACUACCGCAGCAUUCAGGAGUUUUCACUAGUGCAGUAGUUGAUAAACAUAUUGUAAACCAGCAAAACCAUCAUAAUCAGAAAAUUACUUUGACAAAGAAAGUACUUAAGCUAAACACCCUUGUUGCAUUGCAUCCAUUGGCCAGUCCUCGACGGGCCUCCGAUCAUCCAAUCUUCAAAUAGAUCCCAUGCCAUUGCCGAAGCUGCAACUUCUAAGCCUGUACGCGCAAGCCAAAACUCAUUUCUGGUAAAAUCAAGAUUAAAAGUACAGUUCAUAAUUUUGUUCCACUACGAAAUCUUACAUGGUUGCUAUUGCUGCUCUCGGCAAUGGACCCGGUUGGUGCAGUAGGAAUGUACCUAGCCCACUAUUUUCCAACCAGUGAGAUUUUCAAUCAAAUCUACCAUUUUUUGGGGGUAAAAAUCUUCAAAAGACAACAAAAAUCUUACAUUUUUUGCUGCUGCACUGAAAGCCUCUCGAUGUGGUAUUUCUGGAUUCGUAGCUUUAAUACGUUGGAUCUCCUCCCUUUCACACACACACGAAAGAGAAAAAUGGUUUACUAGAUUUUUUAGGUUAUAGAAUUAACAACCUUGAAAUAUGCAGUAGGAAAUGCAAACAAAUGUAUUAGUAGUGAAAAUGAAGAGAAAUGUUCUCACUUCAUGAACCUAUUGUAGGCAGAUGGAAGCCUAUGCUUCUUCUCAGGGGCUGCAACACAACAAAAUACAUGUAACGAAAGGUGUAGUGUCUAGUUGCAAUAUGUACACUGUGGUAUUCACAAGGCUUUUUGUAUAUGCGGGAAAAAGAAAAGAUUAAAACAAAAAUGAACGAGAGUUUGGCUUACGUUUCACAACAAAGGGUGCUUUGGGGGAUGAUGGUUCACCGGAGGUUGAUGAGGAUGAUGAAGAAGAUUGACCUUUUUUCAAAUCACUGAAGAAAGUCUGUUACAAAAUAUGCAAUUAAUACACUUAGCAAUCUAUAUAUCCACUAACCCUUAUGGUAAAAUGAGAAGCUAUGUGAUGACCACAAGCCAAAAGUACUAGUAUAUGAUCAGGCUUUGUAUUUGUGGGAUAGAGAAACUAAAAAAGCAGUUCAGAAGAUAACCUGAAUGGUUGGCUGAUGUUCAAAACAUUGACCUUGCAGUGGAGGGGGAGGCCUGGUGCUAAGAAAGGAGAGGUUGCCGCAGUGCCCGCAUUUCACUGUCACAGUAUCUAACAACCUUUUGCAUGGAAUUCCAACCUAGUGAUAUUCAAGAGGAGUCUAAUAAGCUUGAAAGUUAGUAGUACUACUUAUUUUGCAUAUUUAUCGGCAUAUUUUGUCUGGGGUAGUGUUAUUGUGUCUCAAGAUUUUUCAAAGCGUAGAGACCCUGCUGUCUUGUUUACUCAAAAAAGUGGAAAAUGAGAUAAAAACUCAACAGUUUUGGCUUUUACAAUUUGAAACUUAGCCCUUAUUCAUUUCGGAAAAAUGAUAUAAGUUCUAGGGUAGAAAGAUGAUAUUAUUAGGUAUUAGAGAACUUUUUGAUCCGUGCGUAAGAAGUACGUGGAUCAUGAAAGUAUUUGGUCUCGGAUUCGAGGAAGAAUAUGCAAGAACAACUCCUGUUUCACGAGCUUUAGAUCAGCAGUUAUGACAAAAGAAGAAGAAAACUGUUUUCUCACAUGCAAUCAUUGAAGAAAAUAGAGUUCGACUUCAACCUAAGCUUGUGGAAAAUACUACUACUAGAUAACAUGCAAUCAAAUAGGAGUAUUUGCAAUCAUUGAAGUUUCCUCACAUUCCAUUAAUUUCCUACCCUUUCAUGGAAGUUCAGAAGCUGAUAGAUUGGAAAACAAUUGUUGUUCAUGACUUGAUAGGGAAAAGUAAUACCACUGAUGGAGACAGAUGUAAUACAUGUAACAGUUGCCAAAACACAUAGAGAUUAUAGCAAAAUCUACCUAGGACAGUUGGACUAGGUUUGUACAAGUUUCCUAUGAUAAUCAAGGGAGGGAAAAACUGUACAAAUCUUGCAUGAAACUUUAGUUUACCGCAAGAACAGUGUUGCAGAAGUUGCACCGGACAUAGCAAAGAUGCUCAGAUUGUUGGACCAAAUCCAUGGUGGCUUUGUCCUCCAAAUUCAGUGAAGAUGAAGAGGAAGAAUGAGAAGACAUAGCUAGUAUCAAGUUUGAUGAAGAGGGCCUCUUUUUUUAAAGAUGAAAGUAGAAUCUAGGGUUUCAGGUCUAGAAUAGCUGGAUAUAUAGGGCUCAAGUAUUACUAUAGCUUUCAAAAAAAUUUACGGUUACUACAUUACUGCUCAUAUUGUACCAACAAUCUCAGAAGCUGACAAAUUUAAUGCAUGGCUGGUGAAUACUCUUCUAAGAGUUUCUACCUCUGUGAUCUACGGGUGAAAAAAAAAAAACCCAAAAACCUGUAAUCUACAAUGGUAAUACGUACGAAAUGAAGACUUUGUUGUAUUAGUUAUUUUCAUCAUACAAGCUAAGUCCAAUUUUGGCGUUUGAAAAGUAUCUAUCUAUCUUUGGAUUAUACGCAAUUAUGCACCCUUCCAAUGACUUUACUUUUUCUAAAGUUUUCAUUUUAAGUGGUAUAGCAAAGCUUUCUCCCUUUUUUUUUUUUUUUUGCUUCUAUAAAUGAUUAAUUUAUAUGUCAAUGAUAUAUCGAUGGAUAAAAGAAAACACUUCUUAUUAUAGCUCAUCAAAUUUUCUUCUUCUAUCAUAAUCUCAUGUCCUGCUAGCAGUUUAAACAUGCAGAGAAAAGUCAUCAUUUGACCAAAAAGGUUCUUUCCUAACUUUGGCAGCAUUUUCCACAAGUUGUCUAACGAGAUUCAAAGAGCACACUAAUUACUCGAAAUUCCAGCAUUAUCAUUUGCGAAAGAGUCGGUACCGACUGGUUCUAACUAAAAUGAUCAAACUUGUAUUGCAUGAUUCCAAAUUUCUACAUGGAAGCGAUGAAGUUGCUGGAUGCACUUUAAUUAAUUUCCAAAGAUUUGGCAAGUCAAGUAUCGUUUUGCAUAAUGUGCUUCUCUACUGUCAGAUAAGUAAGCAAUGAUUGCUCAAAGGGGGUAAAAAAGAUACUAUUAUUUCUAGUGAUAUCUUACCCUUUUUUUGUUACAACAAAAAACUAUGUCUUCAUUCUUCUUGAUGUGAAUGACUCCGACCAUGUUAAAAAAAAAAGGGGAUUGAGUCGCCAGACAAUAUUUUCUUUGGUUUUGGUGCCAAAGGCAAACAAAUACUACGAAAAUUUAUAGUAACAAUUAACGUUAGGUACUUUGUCUUGUAAGAAAACAAUUUAUUGAGUUUGUGCUCAGCUAUAAUAUUGGUUUUCUUAUAUAUCCUCGCUAUUCGUGAUUAAAAUGUACAGGGGUAGGAAACUUUGGCUAUUUCACAUAUUGUACAGAGAUAAACAAUGGUACACUCACUAGUUUUCCAAUUAUGCAAUGUAUACUAGGGUUUUGUACUUCAAAAAUUGUAAAGGAACAAAUACAUACAAAAAAUAAUAAUAAUAAAGGUCCUUUCUUUACGUUAGCAUUGAUCAAGAUAAGGGAUAAUUUCAAAAACCUCCCUUGUGGUGUCUAACAACUUCACUUGGCGCCCUCAAAUUUUAAAAAAUUUCACUUGGUUCUCCUACUUUAAACUUGUUGUAACAUUUGAAAUUCAUUUAAAAAUAUAAUAUCAAAAAACUCAUUUUGGAAGAAAGAGUACAAUUUCAUGCCCAAUUUGCCCUUUUCUUGUGAUUUCUUAACUAUCAUAACGCACCACAUUUAUCUCUCAAUUUUUAUAAAUUGAUUGAUAUAGUAUUCUUUAAUAAAAAUUUAAAAAUUGAUAACAAGAUUAAAAAAAUCUUUAAUAAUUUUUGUAUUAUUGGUUUGAACAAGAAAUUUUAAAUUACUCAAAAUUAUGGAUGAUUUACAAUACUCUUAAAAAUAACUUGCAAUACUUCGCAACUACGAGAAUACCUUUUUGCACACCAGCUUAAAAAAAUACAAAUAAGUAUAUAUAUAAUUUUUAGCAUAUUAUAUCAUUUUAUUUUUCAAGCCAUCUAUUUUGAAAAAAAUUAGAAAAUUCAAAAACAUGUAAAUGAUUUAUAAAACUUCUUAAAUUAACUCAAAACACUUUACCAUAAAGAAAAUACUAUCUUUGUAACCUGCAAAAAUUUCAAGUAAGCUUUUCAAAUAUUAACUCUUGGUAUUUAAAAAAAAAAUACACUAUAUUUUGUCCAAUCAAAAUAAACCUUCAUAGCUUUGUUUUUAUUUUUCAUUUGUUUAUUAAUAUACUCACUAUUUUGAUAAUAAAAAAGUAAGACAAUAAAAGGGCAAAUUGGAAAUGAGAUUAUAUCUACCCUCUCAAAAUGAAAUUUUUAAAAUGGGUAGUAAAUAAUAAAAAAAAAAGUUUAAAAUAAGGGAGACAAAUGAGAUUUUUCAAAAUUUGAGGGUGCCAAGUUAAAACUAUUAGAAACCUCAGCGGAGAUUUCUGAAAUUACUACUUAAGAUAAAAACAUUUUAUGUUAUAGCCUUUUUUUGUUUCCAAGAAAACGAACUGUUAUCUCACAUAUGGGCAAGACUUAAUUUUGUCAGCAAUGGAGCGUGUCGUUUGGCAAAUAGUCAAGGUUCUCGAAUGCUACUAGUUCCAAGGUUUUCGAAUAAAUUAAGGAGCCAGUUUUAAGACAUUCAGCAAUAAAAAGAAAUGAAAAAAUGAAGUGCCAUAACUCAAAUUGAUCCAGUCUGCACUCUGCAGUUUGCAGUCUGAUGUUAUACAUGAGAAGACAACACCUAGAAUUCGUAAUAAUUGGUCAGGCACAUCUCUAAAUUCGUCUAAGCAUCCCGGCCUGCAGGUUCAAACAUCUCUUUCCAAUUAGCCAUCGCAUAUCUUCUGAUCUGAUACAGAGAGUACUUUUAAGCAUGUAAUUUUGCAACUUUUCCUGUUUUCCAUAGAUUUGAGUAAACAUCAAAACCGAACCCAAAUGAUACGACCGUGGAUGAGUUCAUUCCUAAUCAAUUGCCUGAUAAGAAAAGAUUAAUAUUAAUACAGCCACCUGAAAACUACAUUCUGCCCUACAUUUGCAUGCAUGCCUUCAUCGAUCCCUUAAUAGAAUUUAUCUAUAUGUAUAUAUAUAUAUAUAGAUGUUAUAUGAAUUGAAAAGCAACUAACUGGGUAGAUGCCUUGACAACAUACAAAUCUGGAAGGUACAGAUAUCUUCAGAAUGUUGAUGAACGCAAAAGCAAAAGUAUACAGCAACAAAGAAUCAAAGCUUGAAGCUUCCUGUCAUCUACUGCUUACACUACACUUAGAAAUUUACGGGUGGGAUGUAAAAGAAAGAAAACUGAAAAAGACAAGAACCUGAAAUCACAUGUCACAGUCACAGACUGAAAUUUAAGGAGGGGAGAAAGCCAGUAAGGUAGGGUUUGUUUUCUGUCUUUAGCUGAUGAUGGGACUAUUCCUCUAGAUUGCUAAACAUGGAAACUAGCUAUUUUUGCUUUUGAUUUCCACAACUUUCUUUGCUGGUAUAAACGGCUUUCCCUAGGUUCUUUUCUUCUUCUUCUUCUUUUUUUUAGACCAGUCAUUAGUUUGUUACUUGUUAAUUUUCACCUUCCAAAUAUUAGCAUUUUACAAUUGAGUUUUUAUAUUUAUUGGAGGGUGGCUAGCUAGGUGAAGGUCGAUAUAUUCAUAGCCAUGGCCACGAGAUUCCCAUUUUGUACCUCGAAGUUUGCUAUACCAACAAGCAAUAAACCGCGUACACAUUCACAGGCGAGAAGUGACUUUGAUUAUAUACGGAUUUGGACAUAAUCAUUUGAUCUAAGCUAUCCCCUCUUUCAUAUCCAUAUGUAGAAACUUUGAUUGGACGCGUCUCCCCUGCCCCCAUCUCUCAGAUACUUUGAAGUUGUGUAGAUGCAACGUCUGGUAAUGAAUUGAUUGUUGAGCGUUUCAUUUGUUCCUUUCUUCCUAUCGCAUUCGUACGUGGUUCUAAUAUAUCCAUAAACUAGUUAUUCACACGUGCAUUUGCACGGGUACCUUUUUAUAAUCUCGAAUUUUUAUUUUUUUUGAACGAAAAUUGCUAUAAAAGGACUAAAAAUGCUAUUUUAUAAAAUUUAACAUGCUAAUUAUAAGACAAACAUUGAAAUUAAAUAGACUAAAAAUAAUGAAUUUAUAACAACUUAAUAAUUAGAUUUUUCUUUCUUGCUAUUAGGUUUCGGGGUCAAAACUUAUGUCUCACAGUUAUGGGGAUAUUUUUAAAAAAAACUUAAUAAUUAGUAUCAAUUGAAUCUUAUCCCGUAAUAUAGUUGUGUUUAUUCUACUUAAUGCUGGCAAGACAAUUCGUGAGCAAAGAAGAUAUGUUGGGAAAUAAGUGUAACUAAAUAUUUUAUUCUUUCACUACUAAAAUGAACUUUAGAAAGCAAACUAAUAGAUGAUGAGCUGAUUAUUUUCUCAAAUUAUUAAAAACUAAUAAAAGACAAAGAAUUUCAAAUAACUUUUACAACCUUGCAUUUACAUGAUACUACUUUGGCUUAAAUCAAAUUUGAAUGGAAAGAGCAUAAAGAUUAAUAGAAAAUUUUAGGAAAGAAUAACUAUUUAUACAAUUUAAAUGGAUUUGGUAUAUAUAUGAAUCUUUGAAGGUGAAGGUCAUUCUUUUUCCAAAUCUUAGUAAUAGCACUAGAUAAUCAAACCAAUAAUAGGAAUAGAGAAUGUGAUCGAAAAUUAUUAGAAAAGGAAAGGCAUGAGUUGAUUGACAAAAAAAAGUACAAUUAAUACAAAUUUAUAUAAGGUAGGUCCUGUAUAGAUUUGUUAAAAUUAACUAUAAAUAAAAAACCAUAAAAAGGGCUGUAAAUUGUUACAAAAAAAAGAACAAAAUUUAAAAAAAUACAAAAUUUCUUACAAUAUAAAUUUGCCACAUGGCGAGAAGAUAGAUCGUCUAUUAAGUAGAAGAUUAGAAUAGCCAAUUAAGUGAUCUACCAAAAUCGGAAUUGAUCAUCGUUUUAUAUUGUGUGUGUGUGUGUGUGAUGUUAUGCCUUAUUUGAAUUGCUAUUUUUCUACAAAAAUAUUUUUAGAUUUUUUAGAAAUAUUCUCUCAACUUAAUUCUGAACAACUUUUUCAACUCAAGUAUAUUCAAGAAAAUAAUACACUGUUAUUUUUCUAUAAAAAUUUCACAAAAAUCUCCAAUAUACGAUCCAAUACGGGCUCUUUAGUUGCAGUGUGUUUAAUCUAUUGUUGUAGCGGGAGGUAACAAUUGAAAAUAGAAAUCAAAUGAAAGCUCGAUGUUGUUUGCUUGAUAUGGUUAACAAAGAAUGAAUGAUUUGCGAAGUUGUGUGUAAAAUUAUCCGGGCUAGUUCUUUGAACAAAACAAUGAAAAGAGGAAUUAGUCUAGUGUAACUAGGGAUGGCAACGGGGCGGGGGACCCCUCCCCCAAUCCCCCGCCCCGCUACCUACAAACUCCCCCCGGUCCUCGCCCCAUCCCCCGUCUCCCGCCCCGUCCAGCUUCCCCCGCAGGUGUCCUUGCGGGGCUAAUAAAAAAUUAUUAUAUAAUUUUAUUAUGGUUAAAUUUUAGCAAAUAAUCAAGUACUAAAAUAUCAACACAUCAUCAAAUUAUUAUUCAUUGUAAUUUUACAAUUGAAACUUAUAAAAACAAUCAAACAAAAAUUAUUUGAAUACAAUCCAACAUGAUGAAAUAAAUAUAACUAAAGUAGUCAAAUUUGCACUUUUGGUACAAAUACAAUCACUAAUUCAUUAUUGUGCUUGAGUUUUUUUUAAGAAAAAAAAUGUUAUUGUAUUAAGUGUAAUUAGGGAUUUAGUAUAAAUGUAUUAGUAAAUUUAGUAUAACCAAUUAAUAAUUUGUAUUAGUACACAUAUAUAAUUAAUAAUAUCAAUUAUAUUAUAUAUACUAAUAGACAUCAUAUAAUACAUAUAACUAAUAAUAUCAUUAUCAUAAGUUUGUAACCAAUUAAAUUAUAUAUUAUAUAUAUAAUUAUAUACCUAUAUAUAUUUUAUAUAUUUAAUUUUUUAAAGCCGGUGGCCCCGCCCCAUUAGCCCCCGCGGUCACCCGCUCCCAUUGCUAUCCCUAAGUGUAACACCUAAAAUUGGAAUAUGAUGGAAUAUCCAACAGCUUAUUUCCUUUGUUUAUGAACGUCAAGAAGUAUAUAGAGGCGCAUGCUUUAAAAUAUAAGUGCUUGCUUAUUCACGAAAAAACAGAAUAGAUAAUCUUCUAGUAGCUUUUCAUACAACAAAGGGCAAAAGCCAGGCUUUAAGAGAUCUUUAAUGGUACAUUCGUUUCAAAGGAAUUAAAAACUAAUGACAUUCAGCUUGAAUUAUCAGGAUUUUCCAAUUGAACUUGUUAAAGUUCCUUAUGUACUGGCUAUAACGUCCACUUUUCUUAUUAUCUCACACUUAAUAAAUCAGGAUGCCAUUAAAAAAGAUUUAAAAGAGAAAGUCAGGAUCCCAUUAACAAAUUUUACAGAAGGGUCCCUUUUAAAAAAAAUUUUGAACAAAAAAAAUAAAUUUAUAUUAAAUAAAAUAAAUAUUGAGACUCCCAUCACCAAGUCGUUGUAGUAUAGUGGUGAGUAUCCCCGCCUGUCACGCGGGAGACCCGGGUUCGAUCCCCGGCAACGGCGUUUUCUCUCUUUCGUUAGUUUUAUUUUUAUAACAUCUUUUUCCUAUUUGUUUUUUUUGAAUCGGACCCACUAAAAUUCCCGUCCGUGCAUAUUUAUAUCUCGUGAAUUUUCGUUCCCGCCAUCUUCAUUUUCAGCUGCGUCUCUUCCCCCGGUCUCCCACCCUUCCUCUUUCUAUCUCUCACAGUACACACACUGAGUACAGUGAAGUAGAAGUAGAAUAGAAUAGACGACGAUCAAUUACGCCGUCAACAAUGUCGGAAGCCGGAGAGGAGAAAUCGGACGGUCUGGAGAUCAUAUCAAUCGGCAAGCUUUAUAGUGGUUCUUGGGAAAAGAAAUACUGGAGCUGCUCUAGGGUUCGAUAUUCCAUUUUUUACUAUUGUAUAUUUCCGCUCGACGUUUUUCAGUUUGAUAUUAUGCUCAGCUGGUUUUCUGCGUGUUGCGAUAUGCUUGAUCUAUAGUUAGAAUUAAUGUGAAUUUUCUUUUUUGGUUGUUAAUUUUGAAAAUUGAUGAUAUAGAUUGGUCGAAAGUGGAUGACUUUGCAUAAUUACGGUAUAAUUGAAGUAAUUAGCAACUCCAUUUGUUUGUUUUGACUAUUUGUUUGUUUAGUUUUCAUGUAAUGUAAUGGAAUUAUGUGAGGCGAAAAUAUAUAUUUUAUUUUUCUUUUCUUUCCUUUUAUUCAACAUAAGAACAGAUUAUGCAAAGGAUACAUUUGUCAUUCGAGCCUGGGUUAACUAUCAGAAUACUACAAUUUAGUCAAGUUAGGGCUUUUCAGUAUGAGAAUUAUGGUGAUGAAAUCGGAAAAAUAUACCGUUUUAGAGAACGGACACAUGUAAUGGAAGCGAUGUAGAAAAGAAGCUAAGAGUUCAGAAAGUUCAGGUUACAAUUGUGCAUUUCAUAUAGUCACCACGCAUGUUUAAUUAAGUAUUAUGAAAGAUAAUUGGAUGGUCUUGUUGAACCUGGGAUUUUCGCGUCUUGUUUUCUUGCAUUUUUUUGGUCAGGAGAUGUGUUUGGCUGCUAUUUGUGUUUAUCAAAGGUUUGACCUACUUAUAAAGUAGGAACUUUUUCGGAUUAAUUUUGGAUGAUUCACAUGAAUGUUAUUUGUCAAACUUUUUUAUAAGGAUAAAAGGAGAUGAAUACAGCUAAAACCAAAAUGUAUUAUCAGUGAAGAGCAGAACUUCUCAUAAACCACACCUGCAUACUAAAAAUUGCUGAGUGUAGAAUAUAGGGAAUAGAAAAGAGAAGGGGAGCAAGUCGGAUUUACUAGUGAUGAGUAGGUUCAUAUGAACGCUGUAAGAUAUGAACAAUGAAACAAUUGUACGAAGGAAUACAAAAAUGGAUGGGAAAGAUUAACCUGCUAAAAGUAUACUUCAGCUUGGGAAGCACCACAAUCGGCAUAACUUGUCUUUCUUUACAGGGUAAAGAUCGUUAUCCUUAUCCAGUUGGAUUUAAAGCUGUUCGGACACAAAAUGGGAUCAAAUACAGGAUGGAAAUUUGUGAAGGUGUCAAAGGGCCGCUAUUUAAGGUGUGUUGAUUUGCUAAACACUGCUGAUCUAAGGCUACAUUUCCCAGUCCAUUCUGUAAAAGUUAUUGUCAUAACUACAAUGGAACCACCCUUUGUUUGCAGAUUGGUUCUACUGAUGGACUGUCAUGCUCUGGUCAAACUCCAGAUAUUGCAUGGGAGAGUUUUCAGAAAAAAAGAAGCUCUCGUGUAAAGUUUUUGCAUGGGAAGAGAUUCUCAUGCAAGAUUGAUGGCAUGGAGGUGCUGUGUUUUUGUCUAUCUUGUCCUAUUUUUGCAUUUACAUUGCUUCACAUGUACAAUGUAGCAUGUUGUUGGAAUUAAUCCUGUUGCAGUCUUGAGUAUUAUGAGCUUUUUAGUAUCUCUUACACUUCCUGCAGAGUAUUGUAGUAGUAGUACUUUACCAAGAUCUAAGCUCAUUCCUGAUUUGGUGCCAUUUUUCCCUGUAUAAUUGGCAGUUUUUUGGGUUCAAGAAUGCAUCCGUCCAAAGGUUACUGAGGGAAUUAAUGGCAAAUGCUGGAGGCAUUGUAGAACAAAAUUUGCUUCCAUCUGAAUUUUGCUCUGAGGCUUCUGAGACAAGAAUUCCAAUUCAGCUAACUCAUUUCAGUUUGGAUCAUGAUAUGCUAUUGGGAAAACCACAGGUCACGGGGAAGAGAAGCAGGAAAGAGAAAAUGAUCAAAGCUACAUCGCAGGGUGUGACAGAUCUUAAAAGAGUUCGACCUCAAAAUGGGGAACAUGAUGUUGUUGCUUCAAGUAAUGGGCUGACGGGUCAAGAGGAUUGUAGUGACAGGCUUCACUUGAUAAUUCCUACUUUGAAAGAACAUCAUCUGAGCAAGAGUGCAAGAGAUUUCCAGAGAUCAACAAACUUGGACCCCGUGAUUGAGGAAGAACUUGUAGCUUCAGUACAAGAUCAUCGACUGUUGAAUUCUUUUGAUUUAUCUGAUGAUCUGAAAGUUGAUGGUCACAUUCCACUUGAACAAAGCAAGCCUAUUAGCUCUGGAAUUUCUACAACCAUUGGAGAAGAGGGCAACUUGCCUGAAGACAAAGAACGUGUAAGCAGAUUCAGCUUAUGUUACUAAAGGCCAUCUUCAUGCAAUUGAAGUUUUGCUUGCACCAUGGUCUUGAAGUUGUUGGUUUUUAUUCACUUCAUGUGGCUUUUGUACCUGUUAGAUUAAAAACAUCAUUAAAAUACGAAUCAUUUCAAGUUUUGCUAUUCCAUAACUUUUUGUGAACUCAGAUGUCCUGGAAUUGGUUUGUCAGUCAGCUUACCUGGUGUUAUACUUACAAUGUCCCAGCUUGACAGAUCAAAAGUUUCAGCUGGACUCCAGUUUAAUUGCUCCAUAGGAGAAGAUGAAGAAAGGGAGAGAAUAUGUCCUAAAACAAUCCAUGAUGCUGAACUUUGUGUGCCUAAUACUUUAGAUCACCCGCCAGGUACCAUUAACUAAUUAUCCAUUGUUACUAACAAGAAUUUGAUUGCUGAGACAUCAUUCAAUAUCUGCCACUUAUUUGUGGAUGGUUAUGGUUGUUUCCUCAGAUGAUUUGUCUAAUUCUUUUGCCCAUCAAGUUAAAAAAGAAGUACCGACAAAAUAUUCCCCCAAGUUGGACAAUGCACUUGCCACUGACAAGGCCAUUCUUGAGGAUUUAGCAACAGAGUCUGAGUCACUUCGAGAAGAUGAGAUUAGCACAUCUAACUCAAAUGCCAGUUCCGGGAAAGGUGAUUUAGAUUCAGUUGGUCAGGAUAUUGCCAAAUCAAUGAUGACAGUCCUGCUUCCUCGAGCCCUUCCUCUGCUCAACACAUUUUCAAGAAAGAAAAAGAAGAAUCUUAAGCCUUCAGAAAUGUCUGCCAUUGUAACCACGUCUGAAAAUGAAAAGAUUGACAGAAUAGCAAUUCCUGGUAAAGCAUCGAUGUAUAACUCCCUUGAAUGUUACAGUUUAGCUGAUCUAGUGUUGCUAGUUAUGCCUCAGUUGUCCUUGUACCUUUGCUACUCUAUGUAAAGGUGCUGUAACAACAUUUUCUUCUUCUGUGACCCCUUUUUUCUUGUUUUUUCUCUAUGUCAAACUUGCAGUCAGAGAGCUUCCAGAAACUGCAGAAUUGGACCAGAAUAAGGAGGACCAAAUUUCUUCUAGGAAUCUAGAAUAUGAUGGUCGUAUAAAAUCUGUUGUUCCUGAUAGCUUUGAUGACAGUGGAAGUGGAGAUCUUCUGAUAGAUAAUCUGCGCCUUCUUGAGACUGCAGAUAGGAAAACAAGUCCUCACUGCAACAGAGAAAUGGCUUUGAAUCAUGGGAUUGAUAUCUGCAAUGACUCAACAUCUAAAGCUUCCUUAGGAUCCACAUUUCCCAGUAAAAAUGAUGCCUUCACAAGCUUCAGUGAGAAGUCUUUGUGUAUUCAAAAACAGACUAUGAAGGACGACACCAAGACUUGUCCUGAUUAUAGUGAAGGUACUAAUAAAAGAUUGCCUGCAGAGAAUCUCCUUUUUUAUCACUGUUUAUGGUACACUUGUUUCAACAUACACAAGUGAAAUAUGACACUAAUUUAGUGCGUCCAAAGAAAAAUGUUCACGUUCACUAAAGAAAUCAAUAUCACGAGCAAGGCAGCUUGUCCUUAACUGAAACUUCAUUUGAGCUGCUGAAUCAAAAGUGUACCCUAUUUCUUUGUUAAAAUUGGAUGUAAACGAUGCUAGUGGUGUUUAUGAUGUAGAACAAUGUCUGAUUGUAAUAUUGGUCUCCUGCCUAAAAGUUCUUGCAGUUGACACCCAAAGCCCUAAAAAUUUGAUCAUUGGUACUGGAACUAGGGUUGAGAAAGAAGAACCUAGAUCUAUGACUGUUAAAAGGCUUUGUAACUGCUGAUGGAGAACCUUUUACGAUGAAUUAUCGGACAAGAAAUCCUUGUUUCUGACUUCAGAUGAUAUUUUUGUGUUUCAGACAUUCUUGAUUUAACUACGUCAUUUUUAGACCAAGAACUUGCUGAUCUUGAUAUUCCCACAUCGAAUUCGCUGAUCCAGAGGGUGAAUUCUGAUAAUGUGGCACAAAAGCAUGAAGCCAAAGAUUGUUCAAAAAUGAAUAAUAAUGCAACUUCCCUCCUUAAUGCCAAGCUGGAAGAGGUUCUCAAGCUUGUUGGCUGCUAUAUCCACCCCAUGCCAGUUUUAUCUGUGCUAUUGAGAAUGGUAGGGAAGGAAAUCUAUAUAUGUGCACUUUGUGGCUCCCUUGCACAAGAGGACAAGAUUCUCUUUGUCUACAGUACUCCAGUUACUGGAGAAAAGACAGGAUCCCCUUCUUUUGUUGGUCAUGCAUCAGUUAUCUUGGAUGAUGCCUUUGGGAGAAAUGUAAGAUAAACUUUCCUAUAACUCUUUCUUUCUUUUACUGCAGUAGUGCUGGAGUUGCUAGCUGUACAUUAUAGACAUGCUUUCUUUCAGCAGAUUGCUGUGGAUAAUUUUGGUUUGCAUUUCACUCCAGAUGGACAAUCUCUUGUUCUACUGAAUAGCAUAAAAGUGCCCUGCUGCAGGUUUCUACUUUAUUUUUCCUGCAUAUAUACUUACCCAUGGUUAUGAAAUUCUUGUAGUUCUAAAAUGUAGAUUUUGUGCUCUCAGGGAGGGUAACAUUCAUUGUCCUUGCCAGUUAUGUACUUCAGAUUGUUUUGAAAAGAAUGCAGUAAAAAUUGUGCAUAUAAGAGUUGGCUAUGUCUCAGUGAUCAACAAACUUAAAACUGCUCAAACUGUAUGCUGUAUACUAGUUUGUGAGCCUAAUCAUCUUGUUGCUGCUGAAGAGAGUGGGAAGCUCUGCCUUUGGGUCAUGGACUCAACAUGGAGGUAAAUUCUUCGAAAGGGUUACUUUUCCUUUCUUCUUCUUGUCUAUAUGUUCCUUAUUCAUUAAGGCAUCAUGGCUAGUUAAACAUUGAUAUUCUCCUCGAUUGACGUCUUAGUGUAUUAAUGGGCAAAAACAUCUUCCUUAUACUGCCUGGUUAAAAGAUUACUGAUGAAGUGCUGCAUUAUGUGGUUUUAUUCCCUUAUUGGAUUGUCUAUGGAUUAGGAAGAACUGAAUACUGUGUACUAGCAAGUUCAUGGCAUAGUUUGAAUGGUGGCUAAGUGAAUAAAUUGCUUCAACUCCAUAAUAGUUGAACUUCACACAUGAUUAAUUAUUUGGUGAAUGAGAAGUUUCUGGUUAACGAAUAUUAGUAACUGCCAAAAUGUUCCGACAAUCAUGAGUGGUAUUGUAACUUUCUUUGCUACAUUACUUGUUCAGUGGCUCACAUCUUACGGCUGCCAAGGUUUUGUGUUUCUACUCUAAUAUUGUUUGGGAUAAUUGCAUGCUCCAGCAGUGUCUGGAGCAUCACUAAAUCUGGUUCUUUAUUUGCAGUUCACAGUUGGAGGAAUGUCAUUUACCUGUGGCAGAUAACUGGCCGCCUUCUCCUGUUGAACUGAAGAAACUUCCAAAAUCUGCUUCUUUAAUUAUUGGUCAUAACGGAUUUGGCGAGUUUGGCAUAUGGUAUGCUAGCUUUGAUCACAAAUGCAAUCAAGUGUGCUUACUUUUACAUGUUUUUAUAGUAAUCUGUUACCAUGUAUAUUUGUCCUUGGUCUCAAAAAUGACAAGCCAUGCUAAGAGAGUUCUAUGUUGGAUGAACUUCUCAUUCUGUUUCACCAAACAAUUCAUGGAACUGCAAAAACUUUAUCAUCUAGGUUAGUUCUGCUGACCUUUGUGAAGUUUACUGGUUCUAUCUCAAUGUCCCUUUUAUAUUUUGGUUGAUGCAAUAAACAUGGUAAUUAACCAGCUCUACGUUGUCAUUGAUUUAAUUUUACCUAAUGAAUGGUAAAUAAUAUUGCGAAACAAAAUUUUUGGUUCUUGUUUGAUCCAGUUCUGUGUCAUUACUAACUGCGUUCAGAAUAAAGUUGGCUAGGCUGCUGAAUGCUAAAACAAGCCUAAAAGAUAUAGCCACAUUGAUAAGAAUGUUCAUAGUUUCUCCUUAUUGAUACUCUAAUUAGACUUCCACUUUUGCAGGGACAUUAAAAAACAGAUUCUCGUAUCGAAGUUUUCUGGUCCGAGCACUACAAUCUCUAAAUGCAUUCCAAUUAGCUUCUUUCAGUGGCAAAGAAAAGGCAAUGUUCCCCCUUACUACAACCAGGAAGAGCUUAUCAACGAGGUUCUAAAUGCAACAGAAAUGUGGUUCUCUGGAGAAGAUAGCGAACUGGUCCGACCAAUAGAGGCUGAAGAUCUGGCCAUCUGGCUUCUUAUCUCAACUGUGUCAUAUCUUGACUUCCAACCUAGCUAUAAAUCAGGUGAUUGGCAGAUGGACUCAGUUGGAUCUUGGAAGCUUGCUCUCCUGGUUAAAAACACAGUGGUGAUGGGAAGUGCAUUGGAUCUUAGGUACUACCCAAAUUAGAUGAAUACUAUUAGAGAGACAUAUUAUAGUACUAUUCUGUGUUAGUGCUACUUGUUUGUUUUGCAAAUAGUGGAUAAAGGAUUUAAAGUUCCCCAUUUCUUAUGGUGUUGACUUUCCUGUAGGAUCAAAAUACUUGUAGCACAUUACACUGAGUUCCUCGGAUUUUAAAGAAUAUCCAUUCUGGAAUGCCUAAUGAAGGAAUCAAUUUCAGAGUCAAUAUAUGCCUCAUGCCAACCUUUUUCUGGUAUUUCGUGGAAACAGCAAUUUAAUAGUCAACUUCUUGACCUAAAGUUCACACGUUUCCUUAAUUAUUACAGCCUUGCAAUUUGAUCAAAGACUGCAAUGGUUUAUUUGAUGAAGCCAUGAAAGUGUUUUUAAGUUGGAUUAUGUUCAGGAUAGUAUAGUCAUUUUCCUAGUUUGGGCUCCACUAUUUGACCAGCCAAAGGGCAAGCAAACUUACUGAGGGUGAAAGGUACAAGAUAGUGUCCGUAAUAAGCAGCUCUGCAGAGUUGACGUUUGAACUUUCUAAAGUGCAACAUGCAAACCAUAAGCUUGAUUCGUGCCGUCAUACUAGUAAUGAUGCAUCCAUGUGAGCUCCAGGAUAUAUGAACUUGGACUUCUAAUCCUUCUUCUGAUCCACAUUGUGCUUUAUUUUUUGAGCAGUUCAUAUUUUGUUUGCUUUUGCUUUAGAGGUUAAAUAACAGAAGUCCUUCCUGCAGGGGUGUUGCAGCUGGUGCAUCACUUGGUCAUGGAAUUAUUGGUAGAUCUGAUGGGCUAGUUUACAUGUGGGAACUUUCUACAGGAAUUAAAGUUGGUAAUCUACAUCAGUUCAAAGGUAAUCUCACAUUGUGAGUAACAAAUAUUUCUCAAAAUUGGCAGACUUUUUGUCUAAUGCCUGCCAUCUUUUCUUGCUAUCCGUUUCAACUCGUGUUUUUAUGUGUUUGUUUGACAAAGAACUUUGCUAAUUCUUCAUUUAGGUUACUAUUCCUAGUUUGAUUAUGCACUAAAUGUUCUAAAUUCUUCAUUUAGGUAGCGGAGUGUCAUGUAUAGCAACUGAUAUGUCAAAACCUGGAGCUUUGGCUGUUGCAAGCGAUGGAGGUGAAUUGCUAAUAUAUGCGUACCUGUGAAGGGCUUCUGCCGAUUGGCGCAUGCUGCUGUAAAAUGAAGAGCCAGUCAUUAACCUUUCCUGCUCCAGAUUUAAUCUUUAUCAUCUUAGAAACAAAAUCAAUCAGAAAUUAUGAUGUCUGAAGCCUGAACUCAGUCUAGAAGUAUACAUGAAAUAAGUGUAGCAAAUUUGGAAGUUCAGACUUUUUCUUCUUAUCCUCCAAUGUCCCGCCAUGUUUCCCAUUGAUGAUUUGCUCUCUCUUUUGUUCUUGUUUCUUGUUAUAAUACGAACAGGUUAUUCAUAGAGUCACGAUGAAGGUAAGUCAGACCCGGUGGUAGCUUUUUCACGGAAAAAGACCAGAUCGUAUGAUUUAUGAUCUAGCAAUAAAAUCUGGUGGCAUUUACCAACUGUUUACGGAAAGGUGAGUCAAGCAGACUUAAAAAGCACCUUGUCGAUGUUUAUAGUCCACUGUAACAAAUUAAUAAUAUAGAAAAGAAGCGCCAGGUUUGACACAUUUGGAAUUUUUUAAUUUGGAAGAGCAAAUUAGAUCAAAUGUUUUCAUUAGCGAAAGAAUGAACAUGAUCGAAGAAGCCGUUAUAAAUGUCACUUCAAAUAUGCAAAUCGUUUUCCUAAUCAACCGAAUUCACUGCAGCCUCGACUGACGAUUCAUUCUAUGGAAAGAAAACAAAGGCCGGUUGGUUAACGUGAUAAAUAACCUCUGAAACCUUAAUUUGAAUAUUACUGCUAAUAUAAAUAAUAAGGUUACAUAAUGAAUUACGGAAAGAAAGCGAGGGCAAUAAAUAAAGUAUACCAUUCCGCAAUGUUGAAUACAAUCUCAACGAAAUUGAAACUCCAAACUAUCAAAGGAGGGAAAGGAACUAAAUGGGGGCCAACUCAUCGUUAAAAGUCAACUAAAAGAGAGAAGGCCACAAAAAUAUUAAAGUAACUAGGUCGGCUAAAUGGAAAUUAUUUAGCUUUGACAUUGGAUGUCUUGGCUGGAGCUUCGCCUGAAGGGUUGAGCUCAUCCCAGGCUUCAAUCCAUGUCACCAUGGCAUCUGCUAACUUGGUGAAGUAGGGGUCGACAUUGGCAAGCUUAGCCUUGACCUGCUUGGCAAGUUCAGUGUAGCACUGCUGGACAGUUGUGCAUUCCUUGGGCAGGGAGACAGCCUGGAAAAAGGGGAUUAUCUCUUCCUGCCAGUAGAUACCCUUGUACUCUUUCUUCAGAUUAACAAAAGGAUUGCUUGCCUUGCUGUGCCAUAUGUAGGGCAGACCAGUCUUGAUCCCCAGACCCAGAUGGUCACAUAUAACCUGCAAUUUGACAAUGCAUUAUUACGGUCAUGCUUUUAUUAAGAAUGUCAAAGAUAAUUUCACUAGCAAUCACAAGGCAAUUACAUUUUUUUUUAAAAAAAAAAAAAUUUGUCCAAAUAUUAUGACUUUGAGGGUGCUGAUUUAUUGAAGUUACUGUGUUCAAGCAAAAGCAAAAACUAGGAUCACGAGAGAUAUCUAUCAGAAUACAGUUCAUUCUAUUCUCCCCGCUUAAUAUUGUAGUGCACAUUAAGUUUCGUGGUGGUUUAAGAUGUCCAAAAGGAAACAACAUAGUUAAAAUGUGCCCAGGAAGCAUAUACCCACAGAUGCAUGCCAGUCCAAGCUAUAGGACUCAGAAAGCAAGUGGUUAAACAAAGAAGAUGAUGCUUCCUCUGAGCAUUAAAGGUGUCAUUGGAUAAUAAUUUAGUUCUAAUCCCUAAAUGUACCAACAGGAUGUGCGACAUCUGAUCAAAACUGAACGAAACAUCUCCUGACCAGCUUUCCAAAAUUAUAUAGGCUCUUGACAUCAAAAUGUCAACUCGGAUGGCGUGUUAUAAUAGAAGAAAGGAAAAAAAAAAUGAUCCUCAAAAUAAAUUAAGGUACAGGGCUCCUUUGUACCUUAGUACACCAGCCAGCCCACAUAUCAUCGUAGCGACCAAUGGGUUGGCCAUCACCCAUGAGCCCAAAGUACAUUGCAGGUCCAAUCAGCUCACGAUUGAAUGCCAAAUUCAUACCACACAUGGGGAAUAAAGUACCCUUCGGAAUUGUCAUGACUGCAUCCACAUAUCUGCAAAGGUGAACGCGCAUUAGGCGUGAAACAAGAAGCUUGGAUGCAACCUUUUCAUGAGCCACAUAAAUGAUUCACAUACCUGGUAUUCCUCUCACGUGGCUUAACAAGCUGUGUGGGUGCAUCAUAAUCAGGAAUAUUAAGCCAAAGGCCAUGAGAAACAGCUGUUGGAACACCCUCACGAAGACUGAAAGGGUAGCCACGCACAAAGUCUGUGCCAUCUCUGUAUGGAUCAUAAAGAGUAUUGAAAAAAUAUGGAGUAGCAGGACUCAAAAUAUUUUUUAUGUGCUGCUCAAGGGCAUUGAUAUCCUUGCCAGAUGGGUCUUUAGCAACCUGUUCAUUGUGAUGGAAGAAGGUUUUAGAAAAUUACAAUGAUGGGCAUGCUUCAACAACUGUAAAUGCUGAAAAGGUAAAUGAUCGGCCAACACAACUUGAAACUAUGCAUUUCACUUUCAAGAUAUGAUAUCCGAAACAAUGAUGACAUUGUGUAACAUUCUCCAUUCAAAAAACAGGAAAACAACAGCAAAAAGCAAAACUCGAAUUAAUAGAUGCAACUGACAAGAACUUCAAAAAUUAAACAUGGUAGGAAGGAAAACUGACAAACUGCUAUUCUCAUAAUAUGACAUUUUGCAUUCCAACUUGAAAGGAGCCUUUUUAAAGCGACUAUGACAAGGCCAUUGAAAAGGAGUUUCAUCAUUGCAUAAUGGGACCAUAUGAUAGCAAAUCACAGAUUAGAUCUCUGGGCCUUUGUUAUUCGCUCACCCAACCGUCAAAAGCUGCUCAAAAUAAUUAUCUGGUGGUUAUACUCUUCUUUAGGAAUCUAAGUAGCAAAAUUACAAUUAGAAAAUAUCCAAGUCCUUUAUUAGAUCUGGCGGACAAAAUAUCCAUAUAGUAGAUCCAUAAAAAACUGUUCCCUUUUUAGCAAUAAAUAUCGGCAAAAACCAUUCUCCCGCAGGAAGAUAGCAUCAAGCAGAUCGAUCGUAAAUUUAUAUUUGUAAUCAGGAAACAACAGAAUCUCUGAACUUCUUUCUAACUUGCAGGGAGAAGCAACAUUUUCAAUUGCAGGAUCCUUUCGUACACAAGUCACGCGGAUCAGCGAAGAUGACAGAAAAUAAAACACCACGGACACACACAGAAACUUACAUUUUAAUUUGCCUAAAAAUUGACUUGCAAGCACGGAAAAUUCAAAUUUGCAACAAAAACAACACGAAAACCUAUCAAUGAGCAAGAUCAUAGCAAAUUUGUCAUAAAAAUUCAAACUUGAAUUUUGUUGACAAACCAAACUGAAUAUACAGCAUACAAAAUCUCAAUUGUCCACGAUCCAAAAACAGAAAAUUAAAUUAAAAAAAAGUAUAGAAAAAGGCUAUUCCACCCAUCUAAAUCCUGAAAAUUCAGCGGGAUUUUAAAUCAAUAAAGAAAAAAAAUUGACGCCUCAAAACAAAUCAAGCUCCGAUCUUUACACCGCAACAACAAAAGGGCACUUGUAAAAAUCAUCAAAAAUACAGAAAAAAGGUACAAAAAGAAAAUUGACUUACGAAGCAAUCAUCAUCAAUUGUAUAGAUGUACUUCUUCUUAGACACCAUGUACCCAAAGCACCUACAAGCAGAGUCCUUAAAGGAGAUGCAAGAGGCCUUAGGACCCAGAAUUCUGUUGAUAUCAUUCCUAUUAUAGAGCUCAUAAUCAAAGCCUUCUGGGACCUUGAUGGUUUUUGAAGGGUCUCCAUCUUGAACGAUGAUAAGAUGGUAUGGCUGAAAAAAUGGCCUCCACAUCUCCAAGAAAUCCAAAUUCCGGAUUGUUGGGAUGACUAUAUCAAGCUCAUCUUUCAGCAAUGGAGUUGGGCUGACUCCUGCCAUUGUUGGUAGCUCUAAACUCUAUCGACGCUGGGGGAAAGAAUAGAAUUAGAACUUCGACCUUGAAGGCAGGGAUUUUGGAGCGUUUCAGGUCUAGGUGAGAAAAAUAAGGGUCUUGGUCUCUUUUAUAGACUGUUAAUAAAACGUUAGGGAAAAAAUUGAUUGAUUUAUGACGAGAAUGGGAAUAGGAAUAGUAGUGGUCAUUGGUCAGAAUUAGAUUGUGUCGCGUCUUGAUUGGGUGUUUCAAGGAGGGUUGGGCAGAAACGGUCAGUACUAGUUCUUUUAUUUUCAUUUUUUAUUUUUAAAAGCUGAAUAGAGAAAUUAUUUGUUGAAAAAUAGUUUUGUCAAAAAACAUUAAUGAUGUGUUUGGAUUGCAAAAAAAAAUUCCUACGUUUUCCGUAGAUAUAUCAUCCAAUCACAUUUUUAUCUUAAAUAUAUCAAAUUAUUAUAAUAAUUUUUCUACAAAAAAAUCCAAACAAAAUCUAAGGUUGUCUUGUAUCAUUUUCUUUUUCGAAUAGAAAUUCAGAAAAAUUUAUUUUUAUUUUUGGUGUCUAUUUUUCUUUAUUGGCAAAUAAUUACAGCGUAAAAAGCGAAGUCCAAAGCGCCAUUGGUUGUAGGGUCAGGUAUUACUAUAUAAUUGUUUUAGAUAGCUUAUUUAGUUUUCCUUAGCAAAUUACUACUGUUAUUAGUCAUUUUCUGGUCAGGGUUAUAUCCGCUGAUUUCGGCGCAUCUCUAAGUACGUGCAAGUUUCAGUCGGUGGUAUACAAUAAUAAAUACUAUUAGCCUUGUUUGGACAGCCUUUUUUCGCUGAAAAAUUGCUUCGUUUUUCGUGAUCAUAUUUCUCUAUUACAUUUUUUUUCUUAUAUACAUCAAAUCGCUACAGUAAUUUUUUUACAAAAAAAUUCUAGAAAAUGCAAUCCAAACACAACCUUAUAAGUUAAGGUACCAUCUGUUUUGACAAAGCAUUCUACUAUUAAUCCAAACAUUAUAUGCUUCUAGAAUUCUUUUGUGAUGCAUGUUAUUUCCUGUAUCCGUGUCCACUGUAAAUUUGUUUGGGGGUCCAAUUGUUAACAGCUUAGUCAUUUAUAGACAAUUUAAUUUGUUAUGACAUCUAGGAAUUAAUUAGUAAUUAAGUUGAACAUUUUUCCGGGCUUAAUUUCUCAAAAUUCAAUUGUAGGCAGGUAUUAGUUCUGGCCAGACUAGCUAACAUGGAGCAAAUAACAUAUGGUAAAACAAAAGUGUACAACCAAAAAAAUAAAUAAAGAGUACAGCCUACACUUUAAGUGCUUUAUAAAUGCUUAGCACCCGUUAACUCUAAUCUUUUGAAAAUCAUAUCAUAUGUAUCACACAACAGCCCAAGUGGGGUGGGCGUGAACUUAGUAGCCGGCAAAGGACAAUUAGAAGAAGUCUACGUUAGCUGUAAUUCCACCUGCUGUUCAUUGCCCAACACAACAAUGAUGAUGUACAGUACAGCUUUGGCAGAUAAAAAAGAACUUAAAACUGGCUAGUGCUGAUGUAUUCAAAAGUUGAUUGACCAAGUAUAUAAACUUUUGGUCAUGGGCUGAUUAUAUAAUGGAGAAAGGUGAUUUUUUUCUUUAUUUGUUAGGCAAAGAGUUGAACUAAAAUACAAAUACUUGGGUCUUCUUGCAAUUGCAUAUUUCAACACUAGAAUGAAUGGACUAACAACAACGCGGUUUGACAGCAAAUUUCCGUUCCACGAAUAAUAGACUGAAUGGCAGUGACUAAAAUGAGGCUUGCACGAAGGCUUUCCAAACUUGUAUGUUCAUUGCUUCGCAGCUAAUCUACACGUACGUAUGACCCUUAAUCUUUACAAUAAACCCUUCAACUAUUAUUCCCAUGCAAUCACAUCACAUGCAAUAAUGUGCACCGACAGGCUUUACCCUAUUGCUUCUAAUCCUGCAAUGGAAAAAUAAACUAGAAAGGACAGAUUCUAAGUCACUAGAAAUUAUUGUAUAUUACUUCUGCGCCUGAACCAAUGGUUAGAUCCGAAUUAAGUUGCAUGCACUCCAAACGAGUAUAUAUAUAUGUGGUGCAUCCCUUCGUAAACUUCGAAAUUUUAAACACUUCAUAUGCAAGACAUUAAAGACCAUAUGUGGAAGGAAGGUCUAAAGGAACUAUUUGAUAGAUCAAGUUCUCUCGAUCUAUUCUUUUCUAGAAUGUUAAAACUUGUAUUUAUUUACUGCAAGAUUUUUGUACCUUGAGAUAAUAUACUUUUCAUUAAAAGUUCACGUUUUAUGGCAAUGCUUAGGUACUCUUCAUGUUUAUUUUUUUUUCCACUAUUCUUGUUUGCUUUGGAGAAGAUCUAUUCCCAAUUAAGUCGCACAAAGGAUAUGAAGAUUGAAGUCUAAGUUAAAAUAUACGUAAUGUAAAAUGAAAAUUUUGGAACUAACACCAGAUUGAAUAUUUUCUCACUCUUUUUACAACAUUAUGCAAAAGACUAGAUACUUUACAUUGAUUUGGGUUUUGCCUCACUAUCUAUUCUACCUAUAAAGUAUUUUUCUCAAAAAAAAAAAAAAGCUUGAACCAAUGUGAAUUCUCAUAGAUUUAAUAAUUUCAGAGAAAUUAGCUGAAGGCAAACUGCGAAACAAAUGUCCCCAGUAACUAUAAAUGGUGAGGCAAAUUUGUGUCACUGCUCUUAAAACGUUUACAUGCACGACUGUCUCACGGUAUAUCUGUGUUGUAUAAAUUAAAGAGUUGAAUAAAAGAGCAAUGUAUUGGAAGGAAAUGGCGUGGUCAACUCCUUGCUGCGUCUUGAUCUUGGAGAUUAGUUUUUUUUUUUACGACAUGGGGUAUCUGGGACGAAUCCGCUGCGGCCCGGGAAAGGACGCCUCAAUCCACUCCGAGCACGGUAAUCAUGAGACUCGAACACUGAUCAAUGUCUUAAAAAAGGACUACACGUCUUGAUCUUGGAGAUUAGCUUCUUUUUUUUUUUUUUUACAACAUGGGGGUAUCUGGAACGAAUCUGCUGCGGCCCGAGAGAGGACGCCUCAAUCCACUUCGAGCAUGGUAAUCAUGGAACUCGAACACUGAUCAAUGUCUUAAAAAAGGACUACACGACCGGCCGAGCUAUCCCGCGGGGCUCUUAGAGAUUAGAUGCUUACUGAAUUUUGAAAUGAUUUCCUAGCUUACCGAGUGGGGAAUUUUGAAUUUUUUGAGUAGCUCUCGAUCCAGUUAGUUGUGUUGAUAAUUUGAGUUCCCACCAAUUAUGAUGAAAAAAUUGGCGGCUCUAGGAAUGUAAUUCAAUUGCAUUGCCAUCUUGGGACACUCGGCUGCAGAGAUGAAUGUUUUAUUGUUAUGUUGGCUAUUCAAUUGUCCCCAAAAAAAGAAAAAAUAAAUAAAUCAAUUGGCGUUAGUAGUAGAGCGAUCGAUAUUUUAUUCAUAGUUGAACAUUUCUAAAAUUUUGGUUCUACUUCUAAAUUGCAUUUCCAAAUUUAGAAAUUUUUAGUUGUAGAGCGAUAUAUUAUUGCAUUUCUACAUUAUUUUUGGUUGUUAAUGUGUAAGGAAAUACAGAUGAAAUCAUCAAAUAGUAGAUAAACUCAUAAAAAAGCAGUAGUAGCUGAUUUGCUUUUUUUGGUUUCUUAUAACUAGGGGGAGAUCCCGCACACUCUUAAUACCUGUGAAGUUAGUACCUGUGUGGUGAAAGAGUUAUUGAGGUAGCAAUUAACAAAUUUCUAAGAAGACAGUGGAAGAAAGCAAAACAAAAGGUGUCUUAACAAUUCCUACAUGCUUAAUUAGCGUGAAAUACCUUAGAAAUGGCAACUUUAUGGACAAUGGAGCAAGUUCCAUAAGAUAAUAAUACUUGAUAGUUCUCACAUAUUAGUACCAUCUCAAACAUGUCUCAAUCAUUGAUUUUAAUUGAUGACAUUUUCCUAUUGACACUAAUUACACUCUCUUCCGACAAAUUUCCAAUAGUCUACCACACCCACAUUUAAAAGGGCACUAUCAUAACAACAUAUUGAAGCAUGCAUGAUCAUGUUGUACUUUGUGCUUAACCAUUUGCAUUACAUUUUUCUUCUUGCAUAUUUACCUCUCUAGACGUUAGAUGAAGUUUUCCUAAACGUCAGCUGAAAAGUGCUUUUAAUAUAUGUAUAGGAUGUCAAUAAAUAAAGGGUAUGGUUUUGUAAAAGGAGUGGAAAUGACUGGAUAUUCAUCUAAAAUAUUUUAUUUUCUCAAAACCUUAUUAUUUUUAUUUCUGAAGCGAACGAAAAGUUUAGGGAACAAGUAGUUUUUUCAAUUCUGGCAGGUUCGACCAUUGAAUCCAGAACCAAUUAGGUAUUCGGUCUGAUUUUCCUUAAAAAAACUUACUAAUUCAAUCUUGGUCAACUCCAUAAAAAACUGUGUUAAACCGGUGAUAAUUCUUUUUUUUUUUGUUCAAAUAUAUCUUUCAAAUCCAAUCAGAAAACCGCUUUAAAUUGUCAAUGCAAAAUCGGUUAUAACCGUUUUUUCCAUUUUUUUAAAACAUUUUAACUGACCUUUAAAUGAAAAAGGAGGUACUACGAGGGAACCUUAAAUCCUUAUAUUUUUGCCAUUCACUACUCCUCUUGUUGUCGCUUGACCCACUUAUCCUUCCUCAACUUGACACCGUCAGCCUCAACUCCAAUUUGACACUCAUAGCUUCAUCUAGUUUACAUCUCUCCAUUUACAGCGUCAGCAAAAAUACUCUUGAGUAGUAGUAGAAUUAUGCUCAAGAUGACAUUCCAUGCCACCUAGUUGCUUUGGAUGGUAUAAUAUGGACUAUGGAGCUUGCAGUUCAGUAAAUAAGCCAGUACUUAUCUAGGACAAAGAUGACCUUAGCAUUGCCUUAGCACAUUUGAUGUUCCACUUUCCUCUUUUUGCUUUCUUCUUCCUCGCUUUUUACAAAAUUAUUAACUGUAGUUCAGUUUAGUGUAGAAAUACUUAUUGUAAUUAAUUUAGUUUUGUUACAGCUUGUGGCUAGUUGAUCAACAUCUAAGAUUGUCGUGGCUAGCAUAGCUAAUGCGUCAGCUGCACUAUUUUGUUUAAGAAACGGAUGAUUUAUGACAUAGUUAUAUGUAAAAUAUAAAAAUUGCUAAUCGUGUUCUGUAUUCUUAUGAAUGGAACUUGUUAGCGUAUAUUACUUUUAUUAUCUUUGUCUCUCCUAUUGUUUUGCUAUCCUAUGUAACUGCUGUACGAUUAGGAUAGAAUUAGUUUUUGUAUUCAAAGAUAGAACUAGUUAGUUGUAUGAUAAAGAUAGAAUUAACAUAGUAUUCUAGUACGUUAUGCUAAAAGUCUGUAAUUUGCCUUUGUAUAUAUUCUAGUACGUUAGACUAGAAGUCUGUAAUUUGCCUUUGUAUAUAUUCCCUAUUAUACAUGACACUCGGGAAUCAAAAAAAUAAAAUGCCACUUUUUGACAUGAUAUUAGAGCAAUGAUCCUUCUUACUUGUUUCUCCGUAUCUUAACUUUUUAUUAUUUCCUCAUUUUAAUAUUUUAUUAUUUCUACUUGUUGAGUUCUUGAAACAAUGAUAGAGCAAACUGAAUCACAAAAUAUAGGAAGUUCCUUGAUUGGUGAUUUGUUCUGUGAUCUAAGUUCAAACGAUGUAACAAAUUUUUUGCUUUUCACUACUUCAAUUAGCAAUGGGACAAUAGACAGAUCAUCUAUCCAUUAUGUCUAUCUACUUUCCUGUCCAAUGCAAAACUACAUUGUUCUACUUCUUAAUACUGUUGAUGUGGCACAAAAACGUUUGGCUGCUUUAUGCUUCUUCUUCAUUUUUUUUGGUUUCCUUUAUUUACACAACUUAGUUAUAAUUUCCAAAACUCUAUUACUACUGUUACAAUUCCCAAAACCUGUUGCUAUCGUUUUCAGCCUAGAAGACAAAGGAAGUUCUUCAACAAAAUAAUUAUUUUUCUUUCUAGUGUAAGUAAAAGCAAACAAUUUUGGGAACGUUAUUAUUAAGCAAGAGACUUGAGUGUCAAGAAGAUUUGCGACUUCUUUUGUCGAUGGUAAGAAAAAAUAAUGUUCAUCUAUACAAUUGCUUCUUAUCCCUUAAAUAUUUUUCUUUUUAUUGUUUAUAAUAAGCACUUGAACAAAUGUUCAUAUUCAACCUCACUCGUCAAACUAGUUGUUAUAUUAUGAGUUAUAAACUAACAUUUGAUAAUAUAUCAAUUGUCUUUAUUUUGUCUUGAGAUUGAACAUUUCUUUAUGAGUAUGUUCAGAAAAAAAAGCUUCAUGGAAAAGAAUAAGGCAAGUUAUGAGAAUUUCUUAGAGACAUAAUAUCAAACAAAUGGUGAGACAACUUUUACAAGGAUCGGGAUAAAAAUAGAAAACUGUCAUUGUUGUAACCUAAGUUAAAUAGUGUUUUUGGAAAAAAAAAAAACUAAGAAGAAGAAGAAGAAGCGUAUGGCAGCCAAAUGUCUGAAGUUUUGUUAUGUGCCAUAUAAGCAGUGUUAGUAACUGGACCUACGUAGUUUUGCAUUGAACAUAAAAGUACACAAACAUAAUGGAAAGAGGAUCACAUCUGUUACCUUUCCAUUAAAGCUCACCGUCAACCUCAUUUCCUCUUCACGCAUAAUACACACAAUUAUGAGAACUCAUUCCUGAACAUUCUUUUCCUCCACGGCCUCAGUAGUUAAGAGGGGAAAUGCAAACUCAUUUUAUCACCUAAUGUCACAUUUUUUCUCAAAUUGGCCCCACUCUUUUACAACAUCCAAACUGCAUUCUGGACGUCUACCGACCUUUGACUCCUUGAUCUAAAACCAACCGGGCCCCUGCCAAAUCCAUGGCGCACAACGUGGUUGAUUUCUUGAUGAUCCUUUUUGGUGGGUUAAGUGGAACCAUAGUAACUGAAGAGAUUUGCUGGUAUGUUGAUAGGAAGAGAGAGAAGGGACUUGGACAUCUUAUCGAACAAGAAAAAAUUGUUGAUAAGUGAAUCUGUGAGGAUGAUGAACUUAUCAACAAUCGCUUAGCAGAUAUUGGCGUAAAAAGGGCAUCAUCACUGGCUGCUUUUGAAGCCCUAAAAGAAAAAGACCAUAAUACUACUUUUGCGGCUCCUUAUGAUAGUAAUAUAUUCAAAAUGAUUUAAUCCUUAUAGAUUAAACUUAGAGUAUUUAAGGUUAAUGAUGCAAAUCUAUUUUUCUUUUUUUAUAGAUUUUUGGAAGAAAAAUGAUGAUUAGAUAGUUUGAGAUAUGAUUUGUGAGAGAUCUGUUAAAGUGCUCUUGGGGCUGAUAUUGUAUCUUGAAAUGUAAUCAAAUUUUUAAUUUUUUUUUGUUUAUUAGCCUAGAUUUGAAAGUGUUUAUUUAUUGAGACAACAAAACUUAUGCAUGCUUUUGGAUUAAUGCUGUCAAAAGAUAAAAAGAUUUUUUUCCCCUUUAACUGCAAAUAAAUGUCCAAAAAUUGCAUCCGGAUCUAAUAUUUGGCAAAAUCAAUAUUUCUUAGUUUCAGGUAAGAAGAAAGUCUCUUUUAACAACAUGGAUAUUUCUUCACCCUUGGAUUCGGUAAUUUUCAGAAUACGAAUAUAAUUGAUUGUGACUAAUCAUUGCUUUAAUUGCUCAAUUAGUUUUGAUGGGUCAGUUGUUAAUCCCUGGCAUAGAUAAUAGUUUAAAAAAUGAAACUACAUCCAAAAAUGCUAUCAAAUGUCCUCUUAUUUAUGUUUGCGCAGAAUUUUUGCAUCAACAGAUAAUGGUGGAUCAUCUGUUAGAAGAUUCUCUGAGUUACUUGUUCUUUUCAAUGUUUUUUUAUAGUAGCAUACUAGAGUAGACAUAUCAUAAACAAUGAGUUCUCUGGCAUAUGGAUGAUCUGGUUCAGCAAAUCUUCCAUUGCUUGAAAAUGGCAUAGAUGUGGAUCAAUCCCAGCAUGCUGCAUACAUAUUUAUAUGAUUAUAUCUUGCAAUGUCUGACUUAUAGUGGUAAAGCUAAUAUUGUGAUUAAUUUAUGGUUAGGGAGAUGUUGAUUAUUGGUAAAGUAAUUACCAUUGUGUAUGAUAGGGGGAAACGUCUCGAAUGAGUAUACUAAAAAAUCCAAUAUGUAAUUUCGGAAUCUAAUUUUGAUCCAAAAGUUUAAACUAUUAGGUUUUGAACCAUUACUUACAUAUUAACCGAUUUUUCUCUAUUUCUCGGACCAAUAUGGGACAUAACCUUUUACUCAAAAAGCUAACAAAUAUCCCCCUUCAUGAGUAACUUUCACAAUAAAUCCAAAUUUACAACUCAUUUUUCCGGCACAUUUUAAUACUCAACGCAAACUCAUUUUAUCACCUAAUGCCACAUUUUUUUUCCAAAUAUGGACCUACUCUUUUUCAACAUCCAAACUGCAAUCUGGACGUCUGCCAACCUUUGACUCCAUGGUCUAACACCAACCGGACCCCUGCCAAAUCCAUGGCGCACAACAUGGUUGAUUUUUCUUGAUAUUCCUUUUUGGUGGGUUAAGUGGAACCAUAGUAACUGAAGAGAUUUGCUGGUAUGCUGAUAGGAAAAGAGAGAAGGGACUUGGUCAUCUUAUUAAACAAAAGGAAAUUGUUGAUGAGUGAAUCUGUGAAGAUGAUGAACUUGUCAACAAUCAAUUAGCAAAUAUUGGCACAAAAAGGGCAUCAUUACUGGCUGCUUUUGAAGCACCAAAAGAAAAAGGCCAUAAUGCUACUUUUGUGCCUCCUCGUGAUAGUAAUAUAUUCAAAAUGAUUUAAUCCUUAUAGAUUAAACUUAGAGUAUUUAAGGUUAAUGAUGCAAAUCUAUAUUUCUUUUUGUAGAUUUUUGGAAGAAAAAUGAUGAUUAGACAGUUUGAGGUACGAUUUGUGAGAGAUCUGUUAAAGUGCUCUUGGGGCUGAUGUUGUAUCUUGAAAUGUAAUCAAUUUUUACUUUUUUUUGUUUAUUUUCCUAGAUUUGAAAGUGUUUAUUUAUUGAGACAACAAAACUUAUGCAUGCUUUUGGAUUAAUACUGUGAAAAGAUAAAAAAAAUUUUUCCCCCUUUAACUGCAAAUAAAUGUCUAAAAAUUGCAUCCGGAUCUAAUAUUUGGCAAAAUCAAUAUUUCUUAGUUUCGGGUUAGAAGAAAGUCUCUUUUAACAACAUGGAUAUUUCUUCACCCUUAGAUUCGGUAAUUUUCAGAAUACGAACAUAAUUGAUUGUGACUAAUCAUUGCUCUAAUUGCUCAAUUAGUUUUGAUGGGUCAGUUGUUAAUCCCUGGCAUAGAUGAUAGUUUAAAAAAUGAAACUACAUCCAAAAAUGCUAUCAAAUGUCCUCUUAUUUAUGUUUGCACAGAAUUUUUGCAUCAACAGAUAAUGGUGGAUCAUCUGUUAGAAGAUUCUCUGAGUUACUUGUUCUUUUCAAUGUUUUUUAUAGCAGCAUACUAGAGUAGACAUAUCAUAAACAAUGAGUUCUCUGGCAUAUGGAUGAUCUGGUUCAGCAAAUCUUCCAUUGCUUGAAACUGGCAUAGAUGUGGAUCAGUCCUCGCAUGCAGCAUACAUAUUUAUAUGAUUAUAUCUUGCAAUGUCUGACUUAUAGUGGUAAAGCUAAUAUUGUGAUUAAAUUAUGGUUAGGGUGAUGUUGAUUAUUGGCAAAGUAAUUACCAUUGUGUAUGAUAGGGGGAAACGUCUCGAAUGAGUUUACUAAAAAACUCAACAUGUAAUUCCGGAAUUCAAUUUUGAUCCAAAAGUUUAAACUAUUAGGUUUCGGACCCUUACUUACAUAUUAACUAAUUUUUUUCUAUCUUUCGAACCAAUAUAGGAUAUAACCUUUUACUCACGAAGCUAACAAAUCUCCCCCUUUAUGAGUAACCUUCACAAUAAAUCCAAAUUUACAAGUCAUUUUUCCGGCACAUUUUAAUACUCAACGCAAACUCAUUUUAUCACCUAAUGUCACAUUUUUUUCCAAAUAUGAACCCACUCUUUUUCAACAUCCAAACUGCGUUCUGGACGUCUGCCAACCUUUGCCUCCAUGGUCUAACACCAACCGGACUCCUGCCAAAUUCAUGGCGCACAACAUGGUUGAUUUCUUGAUGAUCCUUUUUGGUGAGUUAAGUGGAACCAUAGUAACUUAAGAGAUUUGCUGGUAUGUUGAUAGGAAGAGAGAGAUGGGACUUGGUCAUCUUAUCAAACAAAAGAAAAUUGUUGAUAAGUGAAUCUGUUAACAUGAUGAACUUAUCAACAAUCACUUAGCGAAUAUUGGCGCAAAAAGAGCAUCAUCACUUGCUGCCUUUGAAGCACCAAAAGAAAAAGGCCAUAAUGCUACUUUUAUGCCUCCUCCUGAUAGUAAUAUAUUCAAAACCAUUUAAUCUUUAUAGAUUAAACUUAGAGUAUUUAAGGUUAAUGAUGCAAAUCUAUAUUUCUUUUUGUAGAUUUUUGGAAGAAAAAUGCUGAUUAGACAGUUUGAGGUAUGAUUUGUGACAGAUCUGUUAUAGUACUUUUGGGGCUGAUGUUGUAUCUUGAAAUGUAAUCAAUUUUUAAGUUUUUUUUGUUUAUUAGCCUAGAUUUGAAAUUGUUUAUUUAUUGAGACAACAAAACUUAUGCAUGUUUUUGUAUUAAUGCUAUCAAAAGAUAAAAAGAUUUUUUCUCCUUUAACAGCCAAUAACUGUCGAAAAAUUGCAUCCGAAUCUAAUAUUUGGCAAAAUCAAUAUUUCUAAGUUCCAGGUAAGAAGAAAGUCUCUUUUAACUACAUGGAUAUUUCAUUACCCUUGAAUUCAGUAAUUUUCAGAAUACGAACAUAAUUGGUUGUGACUAAUCGUUGCUCUAAUUGCUCAAUUAGUUUUAAUGGGUUAGUUGUUAAUCCCUGCCAUAGAUGAUAGUUUAAAAAAUGAAACUACAUCCAAAAAUGCUAUCAAAUGUCCUCAUAUUUAUGUUUGCGUAGAAUUUUUGCAUCAACGGAUAAUGAUUGAUCAUCUGUUUGAAGAUUCUCUGAGUUACUUGUUCUUUUCAAUGUUUUUUAUAGUAGCAUACUAGUAUAGGCAUAUCAUAAACAAUGAGUUCUCUGGCAUAUGGAUGAUCUGGUUCAACAAAUCUUCCAUUGCUUGAAAAUGGCAUAGAUGUUGAUCAGUCCCAGCAUGCUGCAUACAUAUUUAUAUGAUUAUAUCUUGCAAUGUCUGACUUAUAGUGGUAAAGCUACUCUUGUGAUUAAUUUAUGAUUAGGGAUAUGUUGACUAUUGGCAAAGGAAUUACCAUUGUGUAUGAUAGGGGGAAACGUAUCGAAAGAAUCUACUAAAAAAUCCAAUAUGUAAUUCCGAAAUCUAAUUUUGAUCCAAAAGCUUAAACUAUUAUGUUUCGGACCCUUAGUUACAUAUCAACCGAUUUUUUUUCUAUUUUUCGAACCAAUGUAGGACAUAACCAUUUAAUCACAAACCUAACAAAUCUCCCUGUUCAUGAGUAAUCUCCACAAUACCAUUGUGUAUGUUGACUAUUGUUUAUGAUUAGGGAUAUGUUGACUAUUGGCAAAGGAAUUACCAUUGUGUAUGAUAUGGGGAAACGUAUCGAAAGAGUCUACUAAAAAUUCCAAUAUGUAAUUCCAGAAUCCAAUUUUGAUCCAAAAGUUUAAACUAUUAUGUUUCGGACCCUUACUUACAUAUUAAUCGAUUUUCUCUAUCUUUCGAACCAAUGUAGGACAUAACAAUUUACUCACAAACAUAACAAAUCUCCCUGUUCAUGAGUAACCUCCACAAUAAAUCCAAAUUUAAAAGUCAUUUUUUCGGCACAUUUUAAUACUCAACGCAAACUCAUUUUAUCACCUAAUGUCACAUUUUUUUUUUCCAAAUAUGGACCCACUCUUUUUCAACAUCCAAACUGUAUUCUGGACGUCUGACAACCUUUGACUCCGUGGUCUAACACCAACCGGACCCCUGCCAAAUCCAUGGCGCACAACAUGAUUUAUUUCUUGAUGAUCCUUUUUGGUGAGUUAAGUGGAACCAUAGUAACUGAAGAGAUUUGCUAGUAUGUUGAUAGGAAAAGAGAGAUGGGACUUCGACAUCUUAUCAAACAAAAGAAAAUUGUUGAUGAGUGAAUCUGUGAAGAUGCUGAACUUAUCAACAAUCACUUAACAAAUAUUGGCGCAAAAAGGGCAUCAUCACUUGCUGCCUUUGAAGCACCAAAAGAAAAAGGCCAUAAUGCUACGUUUAUGCCUUCUCCUGAUAAUAAUAUAUUCAAAACGAUUUUAUCCUUAUAGAUUAAAUUUAGAGUAUUUAAGGUUAAUGAUGCAAAUCUAUAUUUCUUUUUGCAGAUUUUUGGAAGAAAACUGAUGAUUAGACAGUUUGAGGUUUGAUUUGUGACAGAUCUGUUAUAGUGCUUCUGGGGUUGAUGUUGUACCUUGAAAUGUAAUCAAUUUUUAAAUUUUUUUUGUUUAUUAGCCUAGAUUUGAAAGUGUUUAUUUAUUGAGGCAACAAAACUUAUGCAUUUUUUGGAUUAAUGCUAUCAAAAGAUAAAAAGAUAUUUUUCCCUUUAACAGCCAAUAAAUGUCAAAAAAUUGUAUCCGAAUCUAAUAUUUGGCAAAAUCAAUAUUUCUUAGUUUCAGGUAAGAAGAAAGUCUCUUUUAACUACAUGGAUAUUUCUUUACCCUUGAAUUUGGUAAUUUUCAGAAUACGAACAUAAUUGGUUGUGACUAAUCGUUGCUCUAAUUGCUCAAUUAGUUUUAAUGGGUUAGUUGUUAAUCCCUGCCAUAGAUGAUAGUUUAAAAAAUGAAACUACAUCCAAAAAUGCUAUCAAAUGUCCUCAUAUUUAUGUUUGCGUAGAAUUUUUGCAUCAACGGAUAAUGGUUGAUCAUCUGUUGGAAGAUUCUCUGAGUUACUUGUUUUUUUCAUUAUUUUUUAUAGUAGCAUACUAGUGUAGGCAUAUCAUAAACAAUGAGUUCUCUGGCAUAUGGAUGAUCUGGUUCAACAAAUCUUCCAUUGCUUGAAAAUGGCAUAGAUGUUGAUCAGUCCCAGCAUGCUGCAUACAUAUUUAUAUGACUAUAUCUUGCAAUGUCUGACUUAUAGUGGUAAAGCUAUUCUUGUGAUUAAUUUAUGAUUAUGGAUAUGUUGACCAUUGGCAAAUGAAUUACCAUUGUGUAUGAUAGGGGGAAACGUCUCGAAAGACUAUACUAAAAAAUCCAAUAUGUAAUUUCGGAAUCCAAUUUUGAUCCAAAAGUUUAAACUAUUAUGUUUCGUACCCUUACUUACAUAUUAACCGAUUUUUCUCUAUCUUUCGAACCAAUGAAAGACAUAACCAUUUACUCACAAACCUAACAAAUCUCCCUGUUCAUGAGUAACUUUCACAAUAAAUCCAAAUUUACAAGUCAUUUUUUAGGCACAUUUUAAUACUCAACGCAAACUCAUUUUAUCACUUAAUGUCACAUUUUUUUUUUCAAAUAUGGACUCACUUUUUUUCAACAUGCAAACUGCAUUAUGGACGUCUGCCGACCUUUGACUCUGUGGUCUAACACCAACCGGACGCCUGCCAAAUCCAUGGCGCACAACAUGGUUGAUUUCUUGAUAAUCCUUUUUGGUGGGUUAAGUGGAACCAUCGUAAUUGAAGAGAUUUGUUGGUAUGUUGGUAGGAAGAGAGAGAAGGGACUUGAACAUCAUAUCGAACAAGAGGAAAUUGUUGAUGAGCGAAUCUGUGAGGAUGAUGAACUUAUCAAUAAUCACUUAGCAAAAAUCGGCGCAAAAAGGGCAUCAUCACUGGCUGUUUUUUAAACCCUAAAAGAAAAAGGCCAUAAUGCUAAUUUUGUGCCAACUCCUCAUAGUAAUGUAUUCAAAAAAAUUUAUUCUUUAUAGAUUAAAUUUAGAGUAUUUAGGGUUAAUGAUGCAAGUCUAUAUUUCUUUUUAUAGAUUUUUGGUAGCAAAAUGAUGAUUAGACAGUUUGAGGUAUGAUUUGUGAUAGAUCUGUUGAAGUGCUCUUGGGGCUGAUGUUGUAUCCUGAAAUAUAAUCAAAUUUUAUGUUUUUUUUUGUUUAUUAGCCUGGAUUUGAAAAUAUUUAUUUAUUGAGACAACAAAACUUAUGCAUGUUUUUGGAUUGAUGCUGUCAAAAGAUAAAAAGAUUUUUUCCCCUUUAACAGCUAAUAAAUGUUAAAAAAUUGCAUCCGAAUCUAAUAUUUGGCAAAAUAAACAUUUCUUAGUUUCAGGUAAGAAGAAAGUCUCUUUUAACUACAUGGAUAUUUUUUCACCCUUGGAUUCGGUAAUUUUAACAUAAUUGGUUGUGACUAAUCAUUGCUCUAAUUGCUCAAUUAGUUUUGAUGGGUCAGUUGUUAAUCCAUGGCAUAGAUGAUAGUUUAAAAAAUGAAACUACAUCCAAAAAUGCUAUCAAAUAUCGUCAUAUUUAUGUUUGCGCAGAAUUUUUGCAUCAACGGAUAAUGGUUGAUCAUCUGUUAGAAGAUUCUCUGAGUUACUUGUUCUUUUCAAUGUUUUUUUAUAGUAGCAUACUAUUGUAGGCAUAUAAAAAACAAUGAGUUCUCUGGCAUAUGGAUGAUCUGGCUCAGCAAAUCUUCCGUUGCUUGAAAAUGGCAUAGAUGUGGAUUAGCCCCCGCAUGCUGCAUACAUAUUUAUAUGAUUAUAUCUUGCAAUGUCAGACUUAUAGUGGUAAAGCUAAUCUUGUGAUUAAUUUAUUGUUAGGGAUUGUGUUGAUUAUUGGCAAAGUAAUUACCAUUGUGUAUGAUAGGGGGAAAUGUCUCAAAUAAGUCUACUAAAAAACUCAACAUGUAAUUUCGGAAUUCAAUUUUGAUCCAAAAUUUUAAACUAUUACCCUUAUUUACAUGUUAAUCGAUUUUUCUCUAUCUCCCGAACCAGUAUGGGACAUAACCAUUUGUUCACAAAGCUAACAAAUCUCCCCUUUCAUGAGUAACCUCCACAAUAAUCCAAAUUUACAAGUCAUUUUUCCGGCACAUUUUAAUACUCAAGGCAAACUCAUGUUAUCACCUAAUGUCACAUUUUUUUUUUCAAAUAUGGACAUACUAUUUUUCAACAUCCAAACUGCAUUCUGGUUAUCUGCCAACCUUUGACUCUGUGGUCUAACACCAACCGGACCCCUGCCAAAUCCAUGGCGUACAACAUGGUUGAUUUUUUGAUGAUCCUUUUGGUGGGUUAAAUGGAACCAUCGUAACUGAAGAGAUUUGCUGGUAUGUUGAUAGGAAGAGAGAGAAGGGACUUGGUCAUCUUAUCAAACAAAAGGAAAUUGUUGAUGGGUGAAUCUGUGAAGAUGAUGAACUUAUCAACAAUCACUUAGCAAAUGUUGGCGCAAAAAGGGCAUCAUCACUGUCUGCUUUUGAAGCACCAAAAGAAAAAGACCAUAAUGCUACUUUUGUGCCUCCUCCUUAUAGUGGUAAAGCUGUUCUUGUGAUUAAUUUAUGGUUAGAGAGAUGUUGAUUAUUGGUAAAGUAAUUACCUUUGUGUAUGAUAGGGGAAACGUCUCGAAUGAGUCUACUAAAAAACUCAAUAUGUAAUUUCGGAAUUCAAUUUUGAUCCAAAAGUUUAAACUUUAGGUUUCGGAUCUUACUUACAUAUUAACCGAUUUUUCUCUAUCUCUCAAACCAAUGUGGGACAUAACCAUUUACUCACAAACCUAACAAAUCUCCCCCUUCAUGAGUAAUCUCCGCAAUAAAUUCAAAUUUACAAGUUAUUUUUCCGGCACAGUUUAAUACUUAACGCAAACUCAUUUUAUCACAUAAUGUCACAUUUUUUUUCAAAUGUGGACCCACUCUUUUUCAAUAUCCAAACUGCAUUCUGGACGUUUACUAACCUUUGACUCCAUGGUCUAAUACCAACCGGAUGCCUGCCAAAUCCAUUGGCGUACAACAUGGUUGAUUUCUUGAUGAUCCUUUUUGGUGAGUUAAAUGGAACCAUCGUAACUGAAGAGAUUUGCUAGUAUGUUGAUAGGAAGAGUGAGAAGGGACUUCGACAUCUUAUCGAAUAAGAAGAAAUUGUUGAUGAGUGGAUCUGUGAAGAUGAUGAACUUAUCAACAAUCACUUAGCAAAUAUUGGCAUAAAAAGGGCAUCAUCACUGGUUGCUUUUGAAGCCAUAAAUGAAAAAGGCCAUAAUGCUACUUUUGUGCCUCCUUCUGAUAUUAAUAUAUUAAAAAAGAUUUAAUCUUUAUAGAAUAAAUUUAGAGUAUUUAAGGUUAAUGAUGCAAAUCUAUAUUUCUUUUUAUAGAUUUUUGGAAGAAAAAUGAUGAUUAGACAAUCUAAGGUAUGAUUUGUGACAGAUCUGUUAAAAUGCUCUUGGGGUUGAUGUUGUAUCUUGAAAUGUAAUCAAUUUUUAAGUUUUUUUGUUUAUUAGCCUAGAUUUGAAAGUGUUUAUUUAUUGAGACAGCAAAACUUAUGCAUGCUUUUGGAUUAAUGCUAUCAAAAGAUAAAAAGAUUUUUUUCCCCUUUAACUGCCAAUAAAUGUUGAAAAGUUGCAUCCGGAUCUAGUAUUUGACAAAAUCAACAUUUCUUAGUUUCAGGUAAGAAGAAAGUCUUUUUUGACUACAUGGAUAUUUCUUCACCCUUGGAUUCGGUAAUUUUUAGAAUACGAACAUAAUUGGUUGUGACUAAUCAUUGAGCUAAUUGCUCAAUUAGUUUUGAUGGGUCAGUUGUUAAUCCUUGGCAUAGAUGAUAGUUUAAAAAAUGAAUCUACAUCAAAAAAAGCUAUCAAAUGUCCUCAUAUUUAUGCUUGCACAGAAUUUUUGCAUCAACGGAUAAUGGUGGAUCAUCUGUUAGAAGAUUCUCUGAAUUACUUGUUCUUUUCAUUGUUUUUUCUAGUAGCAUACUAGUAUAGUUUUAUCAUAAACAAUGAGUUCUCUGGCAUAUGGAUGAUCUGGUUCAGCAAAUCUUCCAUUGCUUGAAAAUGGUAUAGAUGUGGAUCAAUCCCAGCAUGCUGCAUACAUAUUUAUAUGAUUAUAUCUUGCAAUGUGCUGACUUAUAGUGGUAAAGCUACUCUUGUGAUUAAUUUAUGGUAAGGAAUAUGUUGAUUAUUGGCAAAGUAAUUACCAUUGUGUAUGAUAGGGGGAAACGUUUCGAAAGAGUCUACUAAAAAACCCAAUAUGUAAUUCCGGAAACCAAUUCCGAUCCAAAAGUUUAAACUAUUAGGUUUCGGAUCUUACUUAUAUAUUAACCGCUUUUUCUCUAUCUUUCGGACCAACGUGGGAAAUAACCCUUACUCACAAACCUAAUAAAUCUCCCCCUUCAUGAGUAAUCUCCACAUUAAACCCAAAUUUACAAGUCCUUAUUCGGGUUCAUUUUAAAACUCAAUGCAAACUCAUUUUAUCACCUAAUAUCACAUUUUUUCUCAAAUAUAGCCCCACUUUUUUACAAUAUCCAAAUUGCAUUCUGGAUGUUUGCCAACCUUUGACUCCUUGGUCUAACACCAACCGAACCCCUGCCUAAUCCAUGGCGCACAACAAGGUUGAUUUCUUGAUGAUCCUUUUUGGUGGGUUAAGUCGAAUCAUAGUAACUGAAGAGAUUUGCUGGUAUGUUGAUAGGAAGAUGAUGAACUUAUCAACAAUCGCUUAGCAAAUAUUGGCGCAAAAAGGGCAUCAUCCCUGGCUGCUUUUGAAACCCUAAAAGAAAAAGGCCAUAAUACUACUUUUGUGCCUCAUUCUGAUAGUAAUAUAUUCAAAAUGAUUUAAUCCUUAUAGAUCAAACUUUGAGUAUUUAAGUUAAUGAUGCAAAUCUAUAUUUCUUUUUUAUAGAUUUUAGGAAGAAAAAUGAUGAUUAUACAGUUUGAGGUAUGAUUUGUGAUAGAUCUGUUAAAGUGCUCUUGGGGUUGAUAUUGUAUCUUGAAAUGUAAUCAAUUUUUAAGUUUUUUUGUUUAUUAGUCUAGAUUUGAAAAUGUUUAUUUAUUGAGACAACAAAACUUAUGCAUGCUUUUGGAUUAAUGCUGUCAAAAGAUAAAAAGAUUUUUUUCCCCUUUAACUACCAAUAAAUGUCCAAAAAUUGCAUCCGGAUCUAGUAUUUGGCAAAAUCAACAUUUCUUAGUUUUGGGUAAAAAGAAAGUCUCUUUUAACUACAUGGAUAUUUCUUCACCUUUGGAUUCGGUAAUUUUUAGAAUACGAACAUAAUUGGUUGUGACUAAUCAUUGCUCUAAUUGCUCAAUUAGUUUUGAUGGGUCAGUUGUUAAUCCCUGGCAUAGAUGAUAGUUUAAAAAUGAAACUACAUCCAAAAAUGCUAUCAAAUGUCCUUGUAUUUAUGUUUGUGCAGAAUUUUUGCAUCAACGGAUAAUGGUGGAUAAUCUUUUAGAAGAUUCUCUGAAUUAUUUGUUCUUUUCAUUGUUUUUUCUAAUAGCAUACUAGUAUAGGUAUAUCAUAAACAAUGAGUUCUUUGGCAUAUGGAUGAUCUGGUUCAGCAAAUCUUCUAUUGCUUGAAAAUGGCAUCGAUGUGGAUCAGUCCCAGCAUGCUGCAUACAUAUUUUUAUGAUUAUAUCUUGCAAUGUCUGUUUUAUAGUGGUAAAGCUACUCUUGUGAUUAAUUUAUGGUAAGGCAUAUGUUGAUUAUUGGCAAAGUAAUUACCAUUGUGUAUGAUAGGGGGAAACGUCUCGAAAGAGUUUACUAAAAAAUUGAAUAUGUAAUUUCGGAAUCCAAUUCCGAUCCAAAAGUUUAAACUAUUAAGUUUCGAACUUUUACUUAUAUAUUAACCGCUUUUUUUCUAUCUCUCGGACCAAUGUGGGACAUAACCUUUUACUGACAAACCUAACAAAUCUCCCCCUUCAUGAGUAACCUUCACAUUAAACCCAAAUUUACAAGUCAUUUUUCGGACCCAUUUUAAAAGUCAACGCAAAAUCAUUUUACCACCUAAUGUCACAUUUUUUCUCAAAUUGGCCUCACUCUUUUACAACAUCCAAACUGCAUUCUGGACGUCUACCGACCUUUGACUCCUUGAUCUAAAACCAACCGGGCUCCUGCCAAAUCCAUGGCGCACAACGUGGUUGAUUUCUUGAUGAUCCUUUUUGGUGGGUUAAGUGGAACCAUAGUAACUGAAGAGAUUUGCUGGUAUGUUGAUAGGAAGAGAGAGAAGGGACUUGGACAUCUUAUCAAACAAAAGAAAAUUGUUGAUGAGUGAAUCUGUGAAGAUGAUGAACUUAUCAACAAUCAUUUAGUAAAUAUUGGCGUAAAAAAGGCAUCAUCACUAGCUACUUUUGAAGCCCUAAAAGAAAAAGGCCAUAAUGCUACUUUUGUGCCUCUUACUAAUAAUAAUAUAUUCAAAAAGAUUUAAUCUUUAUAGAUUAAACUUAGAGUAUUUAAAGUUAACGAUGCAAAUCUAUAUUUCUUUUUAUAGAUUUUUAGAAGAAAAAUGAUGAUUAGACAGUUUGAGGUAUGAUUUGUGAAUGAUCUGUUAAAGUGCUCUUGGGGUUGAUGUUGUAUCUUGAAAUGUAAUCAAUUUUUAAUUUUUUUUAGUUUAUUAGCCUAGAUUUGAAAAUGUUUAUUUAUUGAGACAACAAAACUUAUGCAUGCUUUUGGAUUAAGGCUGUCAAAGGUUAAAAAGAUUUUUUCCCCUUCAACUGCCAAUAAAUGUGAAAAAAUUGCAUCCGGAUCUAAUAUUUGGCAAAAUCAACAUUUCUUAGCUUCAGGUAAGAAGAAAGUCUCUUUUAACUACAUGGAUAUUUCUUCACCCUUGCAUUCGGUAAUUUUCAGAAUACGAACAUAAUUGGUUGUAACUAAUCAUUGCUCCAAUUGCUCAAUUAGUUUUGAUGGGUCAGUUGUUAAUCCCUAGCAGAGAUGAUAGUUUAAAAAAUGAAACUACAUCCAAAAAUGCUAUCAAAUGUCCUCAUAUUUAUGUUUGCGUAGAAUUUUUACAUCAAUGGAUAAUGGUGGAUCAUCUGUUAGAAGAUUUUCUGAGUUACUUGUUUUUUUCAUUCUUUUUUCUAGUAGCAUACUAGUGUAGGCAUAUCAUAAACAAUGAGUUCUAUGGCAUAUGGAUGAUCUGGUUCAGCAAAUCUUCCAUUGCUUGAAAAUGGCAUAGAUGUGGAUUAGUCCCAGCAUGCUGCAAACAUAUUUAUAUGAUUAUAUCUUGCAAUGUCUGACUUAUAGUGGUAAAGCUACUCUUGUGAUUAAUUUAUGGUGAGAUGUUGAUUAUUGACAAAGUAAUUACCAUUGUGUAUGAUAGGGAGAAACAUCUCGAAUGAGUUUACUAAAAAACUCAAUAUGUAAUUCCGGAAUCCAAUUCUGAUUCAAAAGUUUAAACUAUUAGGUUUCGUACCUUUACUUAUAUAUUAACCGCUUUUUUUCUAUCUCUCGGACCAAUGUGGGACAUAACCUUUUACUGACAAACCUAACAAAUCUCCCCCUUCAUGAGUAAUCUCCAUAAUAAAUCCAAAUUUACAAGUCUUUUUUCCGACCCAUUUUAAUAGUCAAUGCAAACUCAUUUUAUCACUUAAUGUCACAUUUUUUUUCAAAUAUGAACCCACUUUUUUACAACAUCUAAACUGCGUUUUGGACGUCUGCCAACCUUUGCCUCCGUGGUCUAACACCAACCGGACUCCUGCCAAAUUCAUGGCGCACAACAUGGUUGAUUUCUUGAUGAUCCUUUUUGGUGAGUUAAGUGGAACCAUAGUAACUGAAGAGAUUUGCUGGUAUGUUGAUAGGAAGAGAGAGAUGGGACUUGGUCAUCUUAUCAAACAAAAGAAAAUUGUUGAUAAGUGAAUCUGUUAAGAUGAUGAACUUAUCAACAAUCACUUAGCAAAUAUUGGCGCAAAAAGAGCAUCAUCACUUGCUGUCUUUGAAGCACCAAAAGAAAAAGGCCAUAAUGCUACUUUUGUGCCUAUUCCUAAUAGUAAUGUAUUCAAAAAAAAUUUAUUCUUUAUAGAUUAAACUUAGAGUAUUUAAGGUUAAUGAUGCAAAUCUAUAUUUCUUUUUAUAAAUUUUUGGAAGCAAAAUGAUGAUUAGACAGUUUGAGGUAUGAUUUGUGAUAGAUCUGUUAAAGUGCUCUUGGGGCUGAUGUUGUAUCUUGAAAUGUAAUCAAUUUUUACUUUUUCUUUUGUUUAUUAGCCUAGGUUUGAAAUUGUUUAUUUAUUGAGACAACAAAACUUAUGCAUGCUUUUGGAUUAAUGCUGUCAAAAGCUAAAAGAUUUUUUUCCCCUUUAACUGCAAAUAAAUGUCGAAAAAUUGGAUCCGGAUCUAAUAUUUGGCAAAAUCAACAUUUCUUAGUUUCAGGUAAGACGAAAGUCUCUUUUAACUACAUGGAUAUUUUUUCACCCUUGGAUUCGGUAAUUUUUAGAAUACGAACAUAAUUGGUUGUGACUAAUCAUUGCUCUAAUUGCUCAAUUAGUUUUGAUGGGUCAAUUGUUAAUCCUUGACAUAGAUGAUAGUUUAAAAAAUGGAACUACAUCCAAAAAUGCUAUCAAAUGUCCUCUUAUUUAUGUUUGCGCAGAAUUUUUGCAUCAACGGAUAAUGGUGGAUCAUCUGUUAGAAGAUUUUCUGAGUUACUUGUUCUUUUCAUUCUUUUUUCUAGUAGCAUACUAGUGUAUGCAUAUCAUAAACAAUGAGUUCUCUGGCAUAUGGAUGAUUUGGUUCAGCAAAUCUUCCAUUGCUUGAAAAUGGCAUAGAUGUGGAUCAAUCCCAGUAUGCUGUAUACAUAUCUAUAUGAUUAUAUCUUGCAAUGUCUGACUUAUGGUAGUAAAGCUGCUCUUGUGAUUAAUUUAUGGUUAGGGAGAUGUUGAUUAUUGGCAAAGUAAUUACGAUUGUGUAUGAUAGGGGGAAACGUUUCAAGAGAGUCUACUAAAAAACCCAAUAUGUAAGUCAGAAAUCCAAUUCUAAUCCAAAAAUUUAAACUAUUAGAUUUCGGACCAUUACUUACCUAUUAACCACUCAUUUUCUAUCUCUUGAACCAAUUUGGGGCAUAAUCUUUUACUCAUAAAUCUAACAAAUCUCUCCGUUCAUGAGUAAAUUUACAAGCCUUUUUUUUAACCCAUUUUUAUAUUCAACGCAUACUCAUUUUAUCACCUAAUGUCAUCUUUUCUCCCAAAUAUGGACCCACUCUUCUUCAACAUGCAAACUGCAUUUUGGACAUCUGCCAACCUUUGGCUCCUUGGUCUAACACCAACCGGACCCCUGCCAAAUUCAUGGUGCACCUGGUCCAACACUAACCAAACUCCUUAGUAUUUUGGCACUUCAAUCCACCAUCAAGAAGAGCAUUUUCACCGGUCCAAUACCGAGAAAAAUUCACUUGCCCAUGAGUUAUCCAAUUUUAUAAUCUGAAAUUCUGAUACCAAUUUGAUAGGGGGAAACCGCUUGAGAGAGUCUACCAAAGAGCCUAAUAUAUAAGUCAGGAAUCCAAUUCUGACUCAAAAACUUAAGUCAUUAGGUUUCGGACCUUACUUACAUAUUAAUCCUCUUUCUCUAUCUUUCGAAUCAAUGUGAGACAUAACUCUUUACUGAACCUAACAGUAUACAGGCACAACCAAAUUUUUUUUUUUUGGAGGGAAAAAGAAACGCACAACCAGUUACUUGCAAAUAGUUGAUUAGUUGGAUUAAGUUUGUCACAUGAAUUCUUGGGUGGUUGAUUUCAAUUUUACUAACAUUUGCAUGUCCAGAGACUUGAUGGUAUUUUAGUUUCAUUGCUUUUUUAUAGUCAUGGUUCAUUCAUUGGACAACAGCAAGGGAAAUAUGCUCUUGAUUUAUUUUUUUUUUUCUUUUGCUUUUCUAUGAUACACUAUUUUCUGUAAUGCUAAUACUACAUUGUUUAUCUCUAUAGUGCCAGAGAGACAAAACAGCAGCAGCAGCAGCAGCAGCAGCAUUUGGUGGGGAGAGCAAUUUUCCAUUUCCAUCAGCAAAACUCUCUCUUUUAGGUUGUUGCCUUUGUUAUUUGUCAACUAUCUAUCUCUAAUUAACUCCUUUCGCGUUGCUUGCAUAAUUUGGCAAACUGUUGCCUCUGUCUAUAUAUUAUGAAUUACUACAUCGUUGAACUGAACCCUUUUCUUUUGGACGAUAGUAGGGGCUUAAUUAGCAUUAUCAAGGAUGACUGUAAUUAACAGCUAGCGCUUGAGUGCUUGUCUUAGGUUAUUUACUAUUGGUCUCUUACUAAUUGCUCCAAAAAGAAUUACAUUAUUGAAUUCUGAUUUUAUUGGAGCAAGUAGAUGGCUUUCAAUUUGCAAUCCUGACUACUGAAUCUUGUGAAAAAAUAUGCUGCCUACAGGCCAUUUUGUCUACCAAUAUAGUUUUAUUCUGUUAUUCAGUCACCUCUCCACUUGAGAGUUUUGCUCUCUCUCUCAAAAGAACAGACUUCGGUUGCUGCAGAGUUCACCAGCCUAGUCAGCUGCAAAUAAGCAUGUCAAAGUUACUGUAAGACAUCAAUCAUUCCAAUGUAGUUUAUGGCGUAAUUUACCUUUGUAUAAACUGAUGAUAUAACAACAAACUUUUCUGUUUUGAGACAAAGACAUAAGAGCCUAUGCUUUAGUGUCUCGGAGCAAAUGCAUUGCAUCUCUUCAUGUAUAUUGAUAGAUUUAGUGCGCAAAAAAAUCUUUACAAUUAUCGGAAUUGAUACACAUUAUAUUCAUUCCAAUUUUUCUUAUUUUAUUAAAAUGAUUAAUUGUGUUCAAAAUUUUAAAUUUGCCAUGAUACCCUUGAAUUGCUAAUACCACUGUCUGGGCUUUGUAUUUAUUUCAAUGGUAAAGAAAUGAAGGCAGACAACAAGGUCAAAAUAGGAAUGAAGUUAUCAGUUCCAUUUUUCUUCAUGGGUUACAAAAAAAAUGUAUGCAUGCCAUGCCUGUGUUCCCUUGAAAAAACUAACUGGUGUUGUAGAGGAUGCAGGUAAGUUGGGAUUUUACUAAGCACAUUGCACUAAAGCUCUCAGAAACGUUAUGGUAUAAAGAUUGUUUCUGAUUUUUGGGUAUGUCACAGAAAAAUAAUUAAAAUUACUACCACUGCUCUUAAUUUUGCUUAUAAAAAAAUGUCCUAGAAAGCAUUUACAAUUUUUUCUUUCAAAAAAUUAAAUUGAAAAAUUGUAUUAACCCAUGAUUAGUUUCGAAUCAAUAGCACCAAAAGCAACAAAAACACAAAAGAAAAAAGAAUAUCGGGCAAGAUUUGGUUCAGCAGUUGCCUCCAUUUUAGACAAAAUCUGAACAUAAAAGUCGUGAGGUUGAAAAUUUCCAAAAACUAAACACUAAACGUAUCCAUAUUCUCUGUGUUUUAGUCACUUUAGAUUCUAAUAUCUUUCUAAUAACUCAUGCUAUCAAACUAUUUACAAAAUUUUAAAAUUCGACCCGUGUUUCACAAGUUAAAGAAGUUCAAAAUAGAAAAAAAAAAAAAAAUACCGAUGCACAAAGCUUAUGAUAACUCAGACAUCAGUUUUUAAAUGUCUCUCUUUAAUAAUAAGAAAGUGCUCGUACCACAAAGCGUUUUAACUCAUUCUUGAGUGUGAUUAAUGCAAUGAAGACAUCGGGAAAAAGAAAGAUGUCAUGUCCCUCCACUUUUUUAUUUUUAUUUUUAUUUUUUAGCAAGAAAGGAUGGGGAUUUAAGAAGUAGGGCAGGGGAUUAAAUUAGGACCUCUAUGAUCUAAGGCCUUAGCCAAAUGUCCCUCCACUUACAUAGGUACUUCCUCAUCAUAUCGAUAAAUUCCACAAUAUGCAUGUCCAAGCUCUUCAAUUAAUUUAUAUGGUUUGAAGAGAUAAUUGCAACAUAAUUAGUACUAAAUUAUAGUAAGCUGCUCGAUUAAUUUAUUGUGGUCACUCGUUAAUCUUAGGCCUAGCUAAUAAUUUUUUUAGAAAGUGAUAUUAAGAAGACUAAUAAGCGAUAUUAGAAAAGGUUACCAAAUUUAAGCUUGUGCACUCGAAAGUUGAAUUUGUGCAUUAAUAAUUUGUUUUAGUUAACUUUGCUUUAAUUUUUCUGCUUUGCAUAUUAUAUUUGUAACAGCUGAACUGCUUCUAUACAUGCUUCGCAUGUUUAAUGACAGGUCUAUGUUUGAAAAAGGAAGCAGCGGGGAUGGGUCGUGGCUUUUCCCGUAUUUCCUUUCAUGUGCAUUUUUCGAACAACGCGUUCUCUCGAAAAAAGAAUACUGGUGAAAGGAUUUGGUUUAAUAGUUGCCUCAGUUUUUAAACAAAGCCUGAGCAUAAAAAGUUCUGAGGCUGAAAUUUUCUAAAAACUAUCAUGUUUGGGUUGCCAUUUUCUAUAGAAAAAUAUACCAUAAUAAUUUGAUGUAUGUGAGAAAAAUGUGGUAACAAAAAACAUAAAAAUUAUUAUGCAAAAAAUUUCAGCCCAAACCAUAGUUAUUAAACCCGGCCCGGCGGUCGAACCGGUCAAACCGGUGGACCGGUCAUUGGACCGGGCCGGGUUUGGAAUCAGAUCGUUUGUGCACAGAGACCGUUGACUUAGUCAACGAUCCAGCGGUCGAACCGGGUUAAACCGGAAACCCGGCCGGUUUUGGCCGAUUUUGUCACUAACUGGAUUUUGUGGAAAAAUUAUUUUGCUAUUGUUGGGACUCGAACUUCCGACCUUUGCUCUCACACUAUCGCUUGCUUACCACCAAACCACUUCCAAAUAUGUUGAUAUAGUAGCUUUAGUAUGAUAUAUAAAUGUUUUUUCAAUUCUAUCUUUUUUUCUCUAAAACAAAUUUGUUUGGAAUCUUUUAAUAAAAAUUUAUUACCCUCCAAACUCUAUAAGUUAUAAAAUGGAUUCCAAAAAUAACAUAUUACAUAAUUCAUUUAAAGACAAAUAUUAUUUUUAAUAAAUUUUUACACUUAAAAUUCAUAAAUAAGCUAGAUAAUUACACUAAAUAUAGAUAAAAUUUUACACUUGAAAUUUGGUAUAUUAAUAAAUAACUUUAUAUUUGAUUGAUUCUUAUAUGAAUUAAUUAUUUUAUAACAAAUUAAAUUAAAUGUGCUUUUGUUAUGACAUUAUUUAUUACAAUUUAUAUCAUAUAUCUUAUAUAAAUAAUUAUGAAAUAUAAUAUUUAAAUAUAUGUAGUGACCCACCGGUUCAACCACUCACCCACCGGUUCAACCAGUAACCCGUUGACCCACCUCCUUCGCCGGGUUCCUUCCCGGGUUGGGUUUAAUAACUAUGGUCCAAACGACAACUCAUGCAACACUACGAUUUUACAAAUUUUAAAAAUUUGAUUCGUGUUUUACAAAUUAAAAACGAGUUUCAAAAUGUAAAAUAAUUAAUGCAUUAAUUAAGUAGAUUGUCUCUUAUUCAUAUUAAUGAGUGUCCAGUAGGUAGUAGUAAAUAGGAAAUGUGUAAUGUUUGAAAUGAGAAAUCCUUUUACUAACAUUACAUUUCCUAUUUACUACUACCUUAUAUUAAUGCCAUGCAGUGUUUUAAUUCAUUCUUAACUGGCUUUCAAAUCAUUAUCUACUACAAGCGGGAGUGUAGUUAAACUGUCUUGUCAGAGCAUUGACAAGGCCCUUUCCCAUGAAAAACGAUCCUCAAUCUUGUAGUACCAAAAAUUCAAUCAGCACCCACAAUAGCUAAGAAACCAAUUUCAACGAAAUUUGACAAAUUGAGAGUACUGAUGAACUGAACAAGAAUUGCAGAAUGUAGAGUCUCAAAGGAAUUGACAAAACCAUUUGCUUCCAAUUCAAUGCUAGUUUAUUCAUACUUUUGAGUUGGGAUCAUACAUACACCCCAGUGGCCCUAUUUGGAUUGCUAUUUUUAAAACUUUUUGUAGGAAAAUGUAUUGUACUGAUUUGAUGUAUGUGAGGUAAAAAGAUAAUGUGUUCAUGAAAAAUGUAAAAAAUUUUUUUUGCAGAAAAUCACAAUUCAAAAUAGGCCGAUUCAUUAACUAAUCCAACCCAAAGAGGUACUAUUGAUUUUCCCCCCCCAAAAAUGGUAUUAUUGGUACUUCAUAACCCUCGUGUGCAACCCUUCUGGUGCUUCAACUCUUGGGAAAUAUCGAAUCUUAUUUUCUCCUAUUUCUUCCCACCUGUAAAAUUGUAAAACAAUCAUCACAAAAAAGCAUUCAGAUUUAAUUAAAGUUGAAGGGCAUCAAUUAUGCAUCAUUUUAUAUUAUUAUCAUUUUUUGGCCUUUAUUUCUAGAACAAAAUAUUCAUGAGUUACAAGCUUGGCAGAUCUCACCUAUACCGGGUCACAAAGUAGUGAAGGAACACCGAAAUUGUGACUAUCCCCAGUUCUUUACCAGGACAAAGCCUACUUCCUCCACCGAACAAGAAGAAAUAACUAUGGGAUUCCAAGCUCAUAUCCUGCAUUGGACCCAAAAAUCAUGUCAUUUUACAUAAAUGUAACUUGUUAUAAAUAGAAUUAUAUAACAAGCCCAACUGAAAGAUUAUUAGUGUCUAACCUGCAACCAUCUCCAUGGAUUAAAUUUGAAUGGCUCAGGAUAAAGGUAUGGGUCGUAGUUGACUUCCCUUGUAAAGACGUAAAUUUUCCAUCCUUUUGGAAUGAGAAAUCCUGAAAAUAACGUAGCAAGUAAAUAGGAAAUGUAGGAGGAACUAGCAUCAUAUCAUUUGUAAAUUGUAAUUUCUGCUGCCUUGACUUCAGCAAUGGCGCUUAGACAACUCUUAGCAUAUGCUGUUAUCUCUAGUUUUGUUUUCUUUUUUGUUCUAUAUCGCACCAUUUAACUCCAUAUCUUUGGUGGCCUUCCUCAAAACACCAUUGACAACGGUAGCCAAUCUCAGGGUUUCAAAGAUGACCUGCAAAAGAC